GAGAGAGAGAGAGAGAGAGAGAGCACGCCCAAACAUGACGGAAGCUCACCAUUGCCGGAACAUCAACAGCGGGAUCCCUUCACAUCACACCCGAGCAUCAGAGGGGCGCACGAAAUUUCAGAGAAAGUUUUAAUCAAGACCGAAAACUGAAGCGCUAGAACAUGAGCGCCAAGCUUCACAGUGAAUGAACAAUAUAAGCCCCAUCGCCAGACCGACUGACCAUCAAUUUUCGCCUCCAACGCCAGCCGAUUAACACCCAUGCGCCCAUAGCAAAUCAACAACCAACAUCCCACGUCCCAGUCGGCCUCCACCUCGACUCGCCAUUGGAAAAGCAAAUCUACUCCCGACGGCUAUCGUUGCUCCGGCCAGUCAUCGCAUUCGAUGGAGAAGACACGAUACGCACGACGAAAGACAUAUCAGCACGAAUCAUAGAAAAACUAUAGCCGCGUCUAAGGACCAACAAACGCCCGGAAUCAAGCCAAAAUCAGAGGGGGCAUAAGCGAAAUCUGGUUCGAGCAUUUCUUCAAACACAUGGCGAGCAGUGAGUUGGGGAGCAAAUAUUGACCUGUUGGGAGCUCGAGCGCACGCCCAAACUCAAAAGUAAUCAACGAGCAACGUUCGGAAUCAACAAAAUAACAACUCAUUCAGGUCCAGCACGAGCAACAACUAAAGAAAUCGAGUCGACUCUCACCUCGCUCAAGACAGGACAGAACAAUCUUACAAGUUAUAACUCACAUUUGCAUGGAAAAGUCAUCGAUAGUUUAUCCAGGAUGAACAAUCUUACUUACUGGCACAUGAGAUUUGAUGUAUUUAUAAGGCAUUUUGAUCACUGUUGGUGUUAUUAAUAGAAUGAUUUCUUUGAAACAUCACGUCAGACUCUUAGAUCCGCUUCACCAUUCCUGUUGUUAUUGAAUAUGAUUAAAUUUGACCUAAUUAUUUUAUGUAAAAGGAAAGGAGACGGAAAGAAAAAUUUAAAUGACCCUUUCCUCCCCUCUUUCAUUAGAAAAUUUGAAAAUUUGGAUAUUAAGUAUUAUAGACCAAAAAUAAAAUAUACAUAUUAAAGAAAAGAACUAGCGAACCUGGUUCAUUGAAAAAGUUUCCAUGUAAAGGAAAAUAUUUCUCUUUUGUUUUGUUGAAAAUAUGCGUGCUUUGUAAAACUAAGGUUUUCAAUCCAUCAUUUUGUACCGUUUUUAACUAAUAAUCAACUUGUUUAUUCGGUGAUUAAUUAUUAAACCCCCGCUUGCGUAUGUUGCUAAUAUCAAACUGUCAAUACACUAACAAUAGAAAAUUUUUAGUUGACAGAAAUAUAUUUCGUAACAAAAGAAGCUCGUAAAUUACUAAUUUCAUUAACAUUUUUGUAAAUGUAUUAAAGUGCAACACCUAUAAAAUUUGAGAAAAGUUGGUACCUAACUAAUUUUGGGGACUUUGGUAAAAAUAAUUUUAAGGUUUGUAUUUUACUAUUCACACUUAUAAAAGUUAAAAAAAUCGGUGAUUCGCUGAUUUAUUAAAACGUUGCUAAAUUUUUCUACUUUUCCUUGUAAAGUUACUAUUAAAUGCUCCCAUGACCCAAAGCUUGACACUCCCUUGAAGCAUCAGGUCAACUUCCACGGCCAGCGUCGCCAUUCCUUGGAACUGCUCAAAGACAAAAGUAAAAUAACGUGUGCAAUACUUGGUGUAAUAGAUAUUUUAUUAAUGUGUUAUAUUUGUACCUCAUUUUUCAUUUAUGUAUAUCCCAAAUCACCUACUAUAAUGUUCUCAAGUCCUCACCACCAUGCUUCUUUACCUAGCAACAAUGAAUUAUAAGUGAUGUGUACUUUUCAAAGGAAUUUAACUUUUAGCGGAACCAUUAACGACCUCAUUUUACAAUGUGCAAUGUUCAUUGCUCAAUCACAACGUUCCGUUGACUAUAAGUUGAGCCAUUUCCAAAACCUUUAUCCUUUUUGGCCCAUAGGCGAAAGCAUGGCCCGGUUCACCCUCUGCUUUUCAUGCAAUUUAAAUAUCUUUCCAGGAAAAUGUCCUAGUGUCGUGCCCGGGAGUAUGUUCAUGUAUCAGUGACAUCACGAGUUUUAUUAAUGACAUACGAGCGGGGUUAUUUGUCUCAAGCUCCGCGGCACGAUCUAUUUGAGGAAAGCGCCAUGUAAGAUUUUUACGAAGACCCAACUCUUUAGUACUGACAUUUAUCUCCUCAAGAAGUUGAGUGCCCAAAAUGUAUUUAUUGUUAAGAUGGGAUGUUUGGAACUCUUCGAGCACUUGAUAUGUCAUCAUUCAGAUAGCAAUGUCCAUGUCCCACGCGUACCAGUCAAUUUCAAUUUCCAAACAAACGAAUCCUCCAAUGCGACAAUUACGAAGUUUCAUUCACCAAGUCCCACUUUCUACUCUCUUUCGUUUUCCUUUUUAACUUUUCUACGUAAUUUUCCCUUAAUAUUUACACUGAAAAUACUUAAUUCUUCUGUACAUGGCAACGAAAGGAAAAUGAUUAUUGUGCGUAUGAACGAGGUGCUAUUGAUAGGUAUCGUUGGGUAUAUAUGACUGACUAAGGAGGAUUAGGAUCUGAAGGGAACACUACUAACAGGUAUUCUUAGUUGUACAAGAGAUUGAUUGCAAUCUUUAUAUGCAUGUUUAUAAAUAAAACUAAGUGCAAUUUAAGAGCCAAAAUCAUGAUAUUUAUGAAAAACCUAUAAGUAACAUAACCAAAUUUUGAGGAGAAUUACUGUCCUUAAAAAAAAUGAAAAAAGAAAGAGGUAGUUACUAAGUAAGUUCACGAAAAAUAGACACGGAUCUAGAUCAGCUCUCAAACCCUCUGGGAGUGAAGUAAAGCACCUGUUUUCGUUAGUAUGACGGACAACUCCCAUUCAUAAAGCAGGACACAAUGCAAUCAGCUUAAAGAAUGUCCUUGUUGCAUUUAUACCUCAGAUGUUUGGCUCGGAUCUCACGUCAUUGCCAAAAUUACAAUGAAGCUCCUGGUCAUUUAAAGCUUCAGGGGCAUGAGAAAUUGUCAUCACCAAAUGAAGAAUGAACAUAUUAAAGACACUGACUGACGGCCUGAACAUGUGGGAUGGACAUUGGCAUGAUGAAAAACAAGAAAGAGCGCAACAUGAUUCCUACCAGUUUUUCCACUGUACAAGAUGUUGCUUUUGGAUCAAGGCCAUGAAUCCAUCAUCAGAUUGAGCAAUCUAUAAGCACUUCAAUUGACAAACAAAGUGGUAUAUAGAUCCGUGGAUAUUCAUCAUCUCAACAUUGGCGUCCUGAAUUUGAGAAAAGUAAUAAUCUUAUGAUGGUACCUCCAAUGGCUUAUUAAUCCCUGACAGAACAAGUGGACAUAAACUACUAUAAAUGCAAUCCAAACCACAUAAACAUGGGUACUUGCUAUGAUCAAUCAACCCUUAGAAGUGUUAUUCCACAUUGGUUGAAUAAAGGGUAUCAAUAUGGGUUAUACACAUGCAGUCUAGCUCUAACUAAUACUUUAAGCUUUUGGGUGGAGCUUUUGCUAACAAUGAAUGAAGUUCUAUUUUAUUAUGCAUGAAUGAAUGAGAGAAUCGCAUAAUAACCAUCCUAUGCUCUAGGCAACCAACUUUAACAGUACUUGGAAAAAGGUAAUACUCUCGCUUCGCAUAAGAACAUAUUCAUGUCAUGUCAAGGGUGAGGAGUCUUACUCUGUGACUGAUGACGUACAAUGACAUCCAAUGUGCUUCAAAGGCAUUCUUAUCUAUUUUCAUUUCUCCCAGGAUCACAAGCCAGAUGCUGAAGCAGUGCAUUCAUUUAGUCAACCCUGAGAUUACUUGAAAUAAGAUGGGAAACGAUAAGACAUCGCCAAAACCCAUGCCAAUCAGUCGUCCCAUCAUCAUCCACUGUAAGUAAGAAACAAACCACCAGAUGAUGCUGGACCCCUCAAAUCCCUUCCCCUUCUCUCUGUGCUUGAUUUCCACCCUCCUCUGCUUCUUACCCCAAUGCUUAGAAUCGCACCACAUCUUCCGCAACCUCGUUGGCUUCCUCAUGAAAAUCCGACUAUACUCCCGCAAACCUCAGUCAUCUUGCUCUUCGUGAGGUAAAAAGUCCGGUAAUUUCCUGAGUGACUCGCACCCAUCCCUAUGAAAGCACUCCAGGAAUUUACUAGGGCAGCGAAUUUCAACUAAGCUUUUGCAAUCCGUAACUUCCAAAUGCUUCAGAUGCUCCGACUUUGAAAGGUCUAGUACUUGAAUGUGCUCGCGCCCGGAGAUAUACACCUCUUCGAGGGAUCCCAAUUUUUCAAGGCCUCGUAUCGCAUGGAGAUUAUCUACCUUUGUAUCCUCUGCAUCAACGCCAUAGUCGAUGGAGCCUGGGUGUAUGGCUAGGGUCAAACUUCUUAGGGAUUUUAAAGCUUCUAGUCCAUCCAAUUUCUUUAGCCAAUAGCAAUCCACGAGAUAUAAUUCCGACAAAAAUUCCAAAUCGGAAAGAUUUGGCAACCUUUCCAAUUUGGGACAUUUCCCAACGUGAAGGUCUCGUAUGCAGGAGGGAAGCUUUGGGAUGCUUUGAAGAGACCAUCAAUUGUGAAGGGUGAGCUCCCUUAAAUGCUUCAGGUGAGAGAGAGAUGGGAUGCUUUGAAGAGACCUGCAAUCAUAAAGGUCGAGCUUUUGUAGACACUCCAAGUGAGAGAGCUCUGGGAUGCUUUGAAGAGACCUGCAAUCAUGAAGUUCGAGCGUUUGGAGACGCUCCAGGUGAGAGAGCGAUGGGAUGCUUUGAAGAGAGUCGCAAUCACGAAGGGAGAGCUUCUGUAGAUGCUCCAAGUGAGAGAGAGAUGGGAUGCUUUGAAGAGACCGGCAAUCCCAGAGCCAGAGCUUCUGUAGAUGCUUCAGGUGAGAGAGCGAUGGCAGCUCAUUGCUUCGACAGGUGAGCCUCAAGUAUUUUAAGCUACAAGGAGGUUUUGGGAGUGACUCAAGCUCUCGACAACCCCAUAAAUCGAGGCACUCGAGAGAAGAAAGCUGAUAUAAGUUUUCUGGCAAGCCAGAAAAUUUUGAGCACUGUAAAUCAAGGGUCUUUAGAGAAGACAAUCCACCUUUAUCCAAAUGAAUUUGUCCUUCCAGCAACUGACAGUUGGAGGCCAUGAGCUCUUGGAGGCUUUGCAAUUUCCCAAUAGAGCUUGAUAAUCUUUUUAUGUGGCAUUUAAAAAUCUUCAAAAUUUUUAAUUUGUUCAAUUCCCCAAUGGAUUCGGGUAAUUCCUCAAUAUGUGUAAAUUUCAAGUCUAGCUCAAGCAACCCUCCCAACUUACCAAUUGAAGAAGGGAUUCGUACUAAUGAUGACUCUAGUGUCGAAGCCCAACUAGCAUUAAGCCUCUUCAGCUUCUUUAGAGAUCCUACACAUGGAGGGAUAUCUUUUAUCCCAGUGUGGCUUACAACAAGUUCCUCCAAUUUUUCUAGUUCACCUAGUUGCUCGGGUAACUUCUUGAGACUCCGACAAAGGCUCAAGUUCAAGGAAACGAGACGCUUGACAUCUCUAAUGGAAGGGUCGAUUUCCUCCAAUUUAUUACAAUUAUUUAGGAUUAGCAUCUCUAAAUUUUUAAACGCAGAGAGAUUAGGGGUGCUCUGUAAGUUGUGACACCCCGAAAGAUUGAGUACUUUCAACCUCUCCAUCUACAAGAAAGAAACAUGUUUCAAGAUUAGCAAUUAGAGAUAUAAUGAUUUAUCAUCAAAUGUAACAAAAGAAAAAGCCUUUUUCAUGUUUACCUUAAUUGAACUCCAUCCUCUCCAAUUUUCACUAAUACUGCUUCCAUGACUGUAAUUAUCACCAGAUAAAUCAAGUACGACUAAUUUCUCCAAAUGAAAGUUGGUCGCCUUGAAAGAGUUGGAACCUCCCUCCCACUUUAGCCAUCUUAAUUCAGCAAGUGAUCCUUUGAAAUCUCCAUCAAAGUCCACAUCCUUCACAUGAAGGAACUUCAAGUUAGGCAUUUUUUUGAAGCUCUCUUGCUUUAUGAACUCUCUGGAACCUCUUUUGUCCAAACGUAGUGCCUCAAUAUUUUUAUUUUCCUCCUACAAAAAAUAAAAUAAAAUUGAAGAUUGUAAAUACCAUCCAACCUCCUUUUGUUAGUAUAGUCUACAUGUUAUUGUGGUCGAUGCAUUUUGUCUACACUUAGAGGGCAGAAGAAAUAUAUCCGAUCUUCUACAAUUACAUGAUCAUGUAAUAUGUCGAUCUUCACUCGUAUGCCCCAUUUUUUGAUGUUUUAUGUGAAAUUCCUAUUGAAAUCAGUCUAGUUUUCUUAUAGAUUUUGAAAUUAAAUUUUGUAACAUAGGUAAUAUUGAGGACUGACUAAAUAUGGUGUCCCUUUGACAUAUGUGAGAACUAUUACACAUUUCAAAAACAAAAAGUACCUAAUCAAACUUAUGCAUUUAUAAAGUAUGACAACUUCCCUUUCAUAAAAUAUUUUUGGAUUUGGAAUAUGGCGGGAUAGAAACGAGAUUUUGGUCUUUUGAACUUAAGUUUUCAUUCAAGCUUAAAGCUCAACGGCUAAUUCUUAGACGAGAGAGAAAUUGUCCCAUCAAUCCUAAACUACCUUUGUAUGAAAUUUCAAUCUUGUCAUUUUUGGCUAUUUUUUGUAGGAAAUCAUUGACGUGGUGUUGUGCCAUGUAGGACAGCCGUAAAUGAUUGGAUCAUUAGUGAUUUCUAGUGAAAAUUGAUCGGAAAGAUUACAUUGGAACUUCGUGCAAAGGUUAAGGAUUAAAUUAGCAAAAUUAAUAAGUUUAUAAUUGAAUUAAUAUCCAUACAAUAAAUCUAGGAUUGCUUAGGUAAUUUUUGCCUAAGAUGAAUGAGUGCACUACUCAAUUUGUCAUCAUUGAAUUUGUCCCAAUUAGUCAUAAAAUUUGGCUUAAUAUUAAGAAUUUGGUAUUGUAAUUUUGCAUUCGCUGAUUUAUAUAGAAAUAUGAGUUAAUAAAUAAAGGUUUGCAAUUAUUAUCGUUUUCCUCUUUUUGCAUUCUAUAAUUUGUUUUUUGCUCCUCUAGUUACCUCAUUUGGUAAGUUAAUCAUCUGUUUCUUCUCCGCUAAUUUCUAACAAUAGAUUUUUGUCUCCUCUUUAUCCAUGCUCAUGUAUAAAGGCUCAAUUAAUCCUUACCAGGAAAGGCUUGCUUGUUACAAAAUACGGGUGGAUACUGUAUUACACUAAAAGAUACAAGGAAGAGAACACAAUUUAUUUCACCUUUCACCACUCCGCCACUUACUUCCUACAAUUAUAUAAUUUCUUAAUUUCAGUCUUAUCUUUUUAGUUUUUGGUUGAAAAUUUACAUCUAUGAACAAGUGAAACAACAUAUGUCAAUGGUUUAUUUAGUUUUUUCUGUCGUAAUUUAUUGUUACUUAAUUUUGCACAAUGUUAAAUUUUGUGCUCAAAAUGCCUAUGACUAGAACCAUGCAUGGGAGAAUAGCCUUAUGUUGUUACAACGUAUUGAAAUCUUGUAAGUUCCAAUAUUUCAUAUGAAUGAACAUGAUUGAUCCAUCAUACACAUACAUAACUUAUAAUUAAAACAAAAAAAACCUUAACCAUGCCGCUGCCUUUAUUAUUAAUGUAUCUUGAACAAUCUUCCAUCAUUACUUUAUGUGAUUUGUUACUUUAAUUAAAUGUGACAAUAAAAGAAAAGCAAAAUCUGUAAUUGAAAAAUUAAAUAAUUUUUUUUUAUAAAAUUUGCUAGUCCUUUAACUGACGAGAUAAUUAAGAAUUUUCUAUUAAUUAUCUAGUAAGAGUCAUCGAAAUUAUGCAGUGUUGUUUCAAUUUAUCAAUUAACCUGGUUAUGCAUUUCUAGAUUAUCCAGAAAAUUGAUAUAUGUCAAGAUGUUUCUCAAAUUAUGUAAGUGACGUUCAUUGAGCAAUACAAUUUAGACUAAAGCUUUUAUUUUCUUUUUAUUUGGUACAUGUACUAAUGCAUUUACAUUAUCAUAUUGGAUGUAAAUUGUGAAAAUGCAUAAUAAAUCCUAGAAACCAAAUUGUAAAAAUUAUUCAUACAUAUAAAACCACUGCUAAGAUCUUGUUACUUCAAAUUGAACAAAAACUUAAGUUGAUAGCCAAUAGUUAUGGGGUGCAAAUAAUUCAACUUAAAUCUUUCUUUUUGUUGCCAUAAAGUAGAACCUACACACGAGCUAAUUGCACAUGUUAACGAUUGAAAAUUAAAGAUAGGAUGAUAUAUUCAAUUCUUGAGGAAACAUUCACUUAUAUCAUAAAAAAGUAACAUUUCGAGAGUGAAAAAGGUGGACAACAUGCGAUUCAUGAAUUAGCAGAUGCAUUUAAGUAAAAAAAAAAAUUAAGUAGGUAUGUGAUUUUAACAUGUAGUUAUUUAUUCUUAUUUAACAUUUAUCGAUUCAUGUAUUUAUCCUCACAUCAACGUACUUCAAAAAUAAGUUGCUGAGAUAUUUUGGGAAGAUAAAAUGAAAGACAACAAAAUCAUGAUCAAAAGUGAAGUUUUUGUUAAAGUUAUAAUGACUUUUAAAUGUUUUAGAGUGUGAUGAACCAGAUAUAUAAGUGGCAUAGAGUAAACUUUCAAACCUGUGUGAUGCUCUGACUUCAAUAAGUAACAUAGGAAGAAGCAGUAACAAAUUUGCUAGAAAAUGAUGUUAAUAGCCCUUUUCUGAGCCUCAUAGUCACGAAUGCAAACUUUUCAUGAACGAAAUGCCAAAAUUGAAUGCAACUUUUACAAAGAAAAUGCUAACAGCAUAUUGAGAGCGGUCAAAGAUUAAAAGAACAAUAACAAUAAUAACUUGAGGGACUACCACUAGAGGACAUGGGGAAGGCCAAAAGUAGACAUAGUUGUUACCUUGCAUCCUAGAACUUUCAUGGCCUCCUCAUCCCAUAGUCUGCUCCGAUCCCAAGGCUUCUUAUUCACUGGAUGGGCGAUAGCUUUGCCUAGAUCUCUUAAUUGAUCAUGCAUUGUCAACGCAUGCAUUCUCGACUUAUCCAUUGUCCAGUCAUCCACCUCAUCAAAUUUUAUUAAUGAGAGUUCAACCAUUCUUGCCAAUCCAGAUAUUGGGGAAAAUUCGAGAUCAUCCCAUAUGUAGGUGGCGAUUCUUUUGUCAGUUCCAACCAAAAAACAUGCUAUGUCUAGAAACAUUUGUUGUUCCUCAUCAUUUAGCGCAUCAUAACUUAUCUUCAAUUUUUGCUGCACUGUCAUAUGAGGUGCCUUGCUCAAUUGCUUCAACGUUUCUCUCCAUACUCUUUGAUCUUCUUUUUCUUUGAGAAGUGAACCUAUAACCUCGAGAGCCAAAGGAAGCCCUCCUGUGGUGGCAACCAUAUCGCGAGAAAGAGUCGCAAGUUCUUUUGGAGGUGGCUUCCCUUCGAAUGCAUGUAUGCUAAACAGAAGCAAAGAGUUUUCGUAAUCCAUUUCUUGGAGCUCAUACCGAUAUGUAGACUCCAACAUGGCCUUAUCUAGACAUUUGAUGAACUUUUGUCGACACGUAACAAUUAUCCUACUUCCUGGCGAGAAUUUACAACCUCCAAUCAAAUUAUUGAGGUGAUCUUCAUGAUCCACAUCGUCAAGAAGAAAAAGAACCCUCUUCUGUGUACAACUGGAUUGGAUCAUAUUAAUCCCUUCAUCAAGAUCAUGCACUGAAUAGUCAUGAAUUUUUAUUGUAUUUGAGAUUAGUCGAGAUUGCACAUACUCAAUAUCCUUGCGACUAAUUGUUUCUCUAAUAUCUUUGAGAAAGCUACGGUACUGAAAUUUGUCAAAAAGUUUGUUAUAAAUGAUCGUAGCUAGAGUUGUCUUACCGAUGCCACCUAUCCCCCAAAUCCAAAUAAUUCGAGUGUCCGGGUGAGCAAUACCCACCAAUUUCAUAACCUCAGCCACACGAUACUCAAUUCCGACCAAGUUCCUUGUAAGACAUGGUUUAAAAUCUUCUCGCUGGCUGUGCAAGACGAUUUGUACAAGGCUAUUUACUAAUUCCCCUUCAUGCCUGUCAAACAACACAACACGUGAGAACUUUUUAAUGGUUCCACAAAACAAGGAUUGAGGAUAAUAAAUAGAAAAAUAUUUCUUCCGAUAAGGAUCUGUUAAAACAACGUAAAUGGCAUACCCACUGGCAAAUUUCUCUGAUUCGUAUACUCUUAAGAGUAAGUGCUUUUUUAAGCGCUUCCGGCCCUUGUUGCUUGACAUCCUCCUUAAAACGGUCCAUUCUCGAUUUGAAGGCCUCUCCAAAUUUCCCAAGCAUGUGUUUCACAUCCUUGGGUUUCACCUUGUAAAGCACGGGCAGUACUAUUUGUCCUCUACUUUCCUUGCACUCCAUAAUAUGGAUCAGUUCACGGAGGCACCAUUCGCUAGCAGCAUAAUUUUCAGAGAUGACUGGGAUUGAAACCUUAGAGCGCUCGAUUGCACUGAGGAGAUUUGCAGCAAUGUCCUCACCGAAGGGGAGGCUCUCAUCAUCUCUGAAGACAGGGUUUGGAUGGAACCUCAAGCCCACAUCGUUGAGUCUAUGGUAGAGGUGAUCGACGAAGCCUUUACGAGUAUCAGGGCCUCUAGAGCUCAAGAAUACGUGGUAAUUGUUUCCAAACACGGAGAUGGACGAAGCGGAUGGAUCAGAAUUCGCUCCGGACGCCGACGGCACAUCGAUCUUCUCCAAAGAGUCCGAAGAGGGAAGAAGAAGAGGCGAUUCGCUCUCGCACUGCUCCGACUGUCCGUGUCUUUGUUUCUUCGAAAUGAUCGGACUCGAAGCAUCGGUGUCUCUAACACGCUUGCGUUGUUGCUUUGAGCGAUGCUUUCCCAUUGCAGCUACCCCUCUCUCUCUCUCUGUGAGACUCGACUGUUGUGGAUGGUUUUUGAGGUGCUGGAAGAAGGGGGUGAGUACAGCGGUUUGCUUGUCAACCAGGAAGAUGGCUCCGUUCGGCUGCUAGUGUUUGUGCUGGGAAGCGUCGCUGUUUAAAGAGGAAGAAAGGAAAGCAGGAGGCGAGACCCGAUUAUUUUAGGGGCAUUAUAAUCUCUCCGAAUACUUUAAACAAGAUAAAAGGAAACCGUUCUCGACUACUGUUUCGGGUCGGGUCCGGUAUCAUCAAACCGACCCGACACGACCCGACACCUCCAGUUUUUUUUUUUGAGCAAACGACACCUCCAGUUUGCAGGAUGGAGAAAUUCACCUUGGAAGAGCCUAGAAAUCUGUACAGUGAAUUAUUUACCUGAAUUAUUUUCUUCAACAGAAACAAUUGUUAAAAAAUCUCCUAUAAAAUUUAACGCACAAAAAUAUUGGAUCUUCCUAUCUAAAUUAAUGCCAAAUCAUAAAUUUUUUUUUGAGAAACAACAAAUAACACUAAAGAUUUUUCUAGUUGAGCCAAUAUUACAUAAUCCACUAUAAUCAGAAAAUUAGAGUUACAAUCACUCACAUGUUCGCUCGAAUGUUAAACCACAUUUAAUUCAAAGUGUUUAUAAAUAAAUUAAUUUAAUUGUAUGUAAAAUUCAUGAUAUAAGAUUGAACUCUUCCUAUGGUAGAGAUGGAUGAUGCAGAUGGCUCAAAAUCACUUCGUUCUGGCGAGGUUGAGGAUCUAGAGACACCAGUAUCCCAGGUUAUCCGCAAGGGAUGGUCCUCUUCUUCUUUUUACCAAUGUAGUACCCAGCCACAAGGAUAAAAACGGGUGUGAAAUAAUGCCAGAAAAAUCUCAUUUUGCUCUUUCAAUGUGGGCGAAAGUACUGUAGUUUCCUUGGCACCAGAAAGAUUACUCGACUAAUGCAGAUAAGAUGGAGCAGGAAAUGGCUACUGGACUAUCUCUGCGCCACAUUUAUAGCGUCGCUCGUAAAUAGGUGGAAGGAAAGCAAGAGGCAAGGCAUUAUUACUCGACUAUUAAGUAUAUUUUAAUCUCUCUAGGUAAGUUGGUCGUUUCCUGUAUUUCAAGUGUUCACACUUGGAAUCUGGAGAUGCCUUCGUAUUGACUCAAAACAAACUACUCGCGUUGCCUUCUUGUGGUCCAACUCCUCCUCAUCCUCGACGGUGGCUUCUUGGCAAAUAUCCGAUGGAUGAUCAUUCCAUUCGCUGCUCCAAGCGCGCCUUUUCCUUACCACUUCCUGGAGACUUCCUCUUACACGUGCUUAGUCAUGGCCUUCUAGGCAUUUUCUGGUGGUGGUUCCAUCUCAACGCUGAAUGGAAUUAAGACAAGCUGAUUUUCUUCCCAUUUAUGACAGCCGUUCAGUUUGCCCGUGCUACGCCAUCGGAGCAUCGGGUUUAUUUUAUUGUCAUUUUUUACCACAGCAUUAGUACCAUAUCGAAAAGCAAAUAAAAGAACUUAAUGGCGAUAUUGGCACUACAAUCAUCUUAACAUUAGAGUGGCCUGUAGAUUGAUGCUAUGCAUGGGAAAAGUCUAGUGAAAUUGAUUAUAGGAAAUAAUCAUUCGAGAAGCAUACUAAUCAUCAUGAAAAUAACUAAUUGUUCUACAAAAUUUUUAUUUCAAAUAAAGUGGGAACAUAAAAGUAACUUUUUUUUUUAAAGAAAGUUAGGAUAGAUGUCAUUUAAGUGCCACAUAUAAGUCAUCCAUUGAUAUUGCUUUGGAGCACCGCUUUUAUUUUCAUCUAAUAAGACACAUUCAUUGUACAUAAUUUAGAAUUGAUACACGAAACAUAUUUGAUUUUAUAAACCCAAACUAAGCUCUAAGAAGUUAUACUUUCUUUUUAUGCUUAAGUACAUCAACAAUUUCCUUUUACUAACCUGUGAACUUUAAGAAAGGACAUAAAUUAUAAAUUUAAUUAUGGGACAUUCAUGUUGUGACUCCAUUUCUUUUAACUUUUGCUAUCAUGUUCUUACAAUUUUUUAAAUUAGGCAACUUAUUAUAAGGAUAACAGUUUAAUUAUAGGGUCUCAUCUUUCGCUUGUUAAUAAAAGGAUCUCCGACGAAGACAACUCAUUUAUAAAAAUUUGUCAUGUAUUAAAAGUGCUUUGCAACGUCACUUUUACAUUUAUCUAACAAGAUAGAUAGAUAGAUAAAUGUAUAUUGUAUCUAUUUUAGAUCUAUUUGUGAAACAUUUUCAAUUCAUAGCUCUAAGAAAAUAUAAUUUAUUCUUCUUGUUUUUUUUGGUGCAAGCACAUCGACAAUUUGCUUUUGACUAACUAUGUACUUUAGUGAAUCGCAAAAGAUAAUUUCUCAUCUGUCCCAAUCACUCUUUCUUUUCGAGUCGUCAAGGCCAUCACGACCCGCUUCUCUUUUAAGAGUCAAUGGAAAACGCGUUGUUGCCAGUCUAAAAGAAAAAGGAAAAAGUCUCAAGCACCGACACAAUCAGUACAUUCCCAGGAGCAUCCGCGUCAGGUAUUUGUCCUCUAAUUGAGCCGUGCAGCAGGGGCAUAAUUAGAUCUAGGAAUCAACGUCCAUAGGCUACCAUGUAGCAAAUAGAAAGUCUCCAAUAGGGAACCAUUUAGGGGACAUAAAAUAAUUUUUUCACAAGAAAAUGAAGGAUGGGGAGCUCUUGACGUGUACGUGAAGAUAAGGUUCAUAUAGUUUAGGAUUUUGCCUUUCAAAAUUUGUGGGCUUCAAUCUUUGUGGCUGAACGUUUGAAUCAACCUUCCUCUCUCCCGUGCAUAGUUUGAAUUCAUUCUCACCCUUUUUAUCAUCCUAGUAAUUUGUUAGAAGUCGCUUCUAAAAAUUUAUUAGACGUCGCUCCAUAUCUAGUCUCUUUAGCUCGAAUGACGAGUUGAAAAAAUUUAAUUUUUGCAUAUAUAUUCCAAAAUCAUUCUUUUUAUUCGAUAUAUAAUUUGAUUCAUUCUUGCCUUAUUUCCUAUCUUAUAAACCUGUCAAGAUUGCUUCAUGUGCAGAUCCCUCGAUGCCAGUGAUCACUUGUCUUCAGACCGGAUCAUUACAUUAUUAUUUUCAAUUGUUAAUAAUUUACUCAUGAUGAUGAGAUGUUAUUUUGUUGUAUUGUGCCACAUCUCGCGUCAUUUCUUGCAUCACAUAAUUACAAAUUUAUCUAAUAAGAUAUAUAUAUUGUAUCUAUUUUAGAUCUAUUUAUGAAAUAUUUUCAUGUUAUAACAUUAAUUCAUGGCUAUAAGAAAAUAUAAAAAAAAAAUUGCCAGCACAUCAACAAUUAGCUUUUGACUGACUAUGAACUUUAGUAAAUGACAAAAGAUAUUAAAUUUCUCAUCCGUCGCAAUCACUCUUUCUUUUUGAGCCGUCAAGGCCAUCAUGACCUUUUAGAGUCAAUGGAAAACGCCCUGUCCAAAAGGAAAAGGAAAAGAGAAAAUAUUGGGUGGUCCGGGACCACCACGUCAGCGUGGUCCCCGGCCACUCACGAGAUGCCAUGUGGAGGUUUGGGCCCCACUUGUGUCUUCUGCCUUCUUCCCCUCUCUCUCUCCUCUUCCUAGUCUGCCGAUGCCCUCUCUCCUCCUAGCCUGCACGCUCUCUCUCUCCUGUCAGAGCAUUUAUUGCGGACGUUUUUCUCUUUCCUUCGUUUGAGAAAGAAAACGCCGUUCGGACGGAGACUCGGAACAUUUCUUUCCUUUCGAUUUUUUGAAUCUGAAAUUCUCUCUCCGCGCUCGUUCCCCUGCCGUCGCCGAGCAUCAAGCGGCCGUUCCCCUGCCGUCGCCGACGAACCACAGUACGGCCGCUGCUACUCCGUUGCUCGCUCGCUUCUCUCUUCGGGCUCGUUGCUGCUCCGUCGUUCGUUCCGCCGUUCCCGGGGUCGCAGAUGCAGCACGCGUAGGAGAAGCAGGCCUCUUCGAGCUCCCCUCAACGUCGGCGAGCGUCGCCCGCCGAGCGAGACCCCCCCGCACCGGAAGGCUCGGAGGCGAGGUUGCUGGAGAAGCUGGUGCCGUACGCGGAACGCGACGCCGACGCCCCUCCGCCGGUUGCCUCCGUCGGCGUCGGAGUCCGUCGCCCCCGACUCCCACGCCGACGCCCCUUCGCCUCCCUCUCGCGACCUCCGCUCGCUCUGUCCCUCUUUACUCUGCGGAGCGCCCCUACUGGCCAACCCCGCGAGCAACCUCUUUCCGAGUCUCCGUCUCCUUCGCAACCAGGUAGACGUCGUCCAUCUCUCUCUCUCUCUCUCUCUCUCUCUUUCUGGUGUCACGGAUUCUUCUUUCUUAUUUCUGUUCCAUGGUGAUGAGCAAGUGUACUCUAGCUUGAUGAUGCAUUAUGGGUAGGUUCGUUUCAUGAGAUUGAAAUUAAGCUACACUGGUGCGGAGGUUGUUCGUAAUGGGAUGUGCGUCUCUUGUGCCGAAUAGAGUGUUGGGUCGUGCCUUGGAAGCUCAAAAGAUGAACUUUAGUCGUUUCCUUGUUCUGAUUAUUCUAUUAGUCUGUGAUAUCACAAGUUUAUUCGAUGUCGUGAUUGAAGUUUCGGUGUCGGGUUAUGUUAAUAUUGUGAAGGUUCAUGCUCUGUGUUAGUUUUUGUUCACACAAUGGAUUCUCUCUGUGGUGGGUUUGCAGCUUCGGUUUGACCAAUCGGCUGGGGCAUGCUCGAGGGGCCUUGAUCAACUCGAUUCUUGCUUUGCUGGCCAUCCUCUUAGAAAAAAGGCGGCUCGUGAUUAGUUGUGUAUUGGCUUUGUAAUGGACCAAGAGUCCCGAAAGGAUGAGGACUUCCCCCUCUUCCAGAAAUGCUCCAAACAACCUAAAGCGCCACCAUCAUCAUCGAUAACUACUUCCUCCUCCUCCAGUCUUGCAGCCGAGACGUCAAUAAAGCAAGUGGAGAAAGUGAAGGAGGAUACUAGCCUUACUAGUACUAAUGUCUGGGUAACAAGAUUUGAAGCUUUCAAUCAGAGCAAGAGUGAAAUCGCAUGGAGUUUUAGAUUUGAGGAUGACAUCUACUUCAACCGUUCCUGCGUUAAAUCUUUUUUACAUUGCAUUCGGAUUUGCAUUUUUGUGCCUAUGUACUUCGUCGUAAGUUUUUAUCUUCUGAUAUUCAAUGGUAGGAUGGGAGAAGGCUGAAAAUGAAGUCUUGGUGCUAAAGAAACAACUAGAGGCUGCAACACAAAGGAACUCGACACUAGAAGAUCGAAUCAGUCAUCUUGAUGUAGCUCUUAAGGAAUGUGUGAGGCAGCUCAGACAGGUGAGGGAAGAGCAAGAGCAGAAGGUCCAAGAAGCUGUGGUCAAGAAAACUGGUGAGUGGGAAUCAACAAAGGCCGAGCUUGAGACUAAGCUUUCCAAUGUCCAUGCCCAGCUUCAAGCACCCAAGAGUGAAGCUUCUUCAGUUAUCUGUUUCGAUCUCGGCCCUAAGCUUGAUGCUGCUGAAAAAGAGAAUGUGGCCCUCAAAGCCGAAGUCCUUUCUAUGUCGGAGGAGCUAGAACUUAGGAUUAUUGAGCGUGAUUUGAGCACCCAAGCAGCAGAAACAGUCAGCAAACGGCAUUUAGAGAGCAUAAGAAGGUAGCUAGGCUGGAAGCCGAAUGCCGCAGACUCAGAUCUUGAAAAAUAAAGCAAGUGCGACAAACGAUCUUAAGUCUUUCUCUGCAUCAUCGGUUUGUGUAGAGUCCUUCGAUGAUAGGCAAUCAGAUGUAGGGGAUAGGUUGGUAGCAGUUGAGAAUGACGUGCAGAAAGCGAGUUGCUUGGAGCCAAGUGAUUGUGAGCCGUGCCACUCUGAGUCAUGGGCAUCUGCUCUAAUAACUGAACUCGACCAUUUUAAGAAAGAGAAAUCCUUCCAAAAGAAUCUCAUGGUCUCUUCAGGAGAACUUGAUUUAACGGAUGAUUUUCUGGAGAUGGAAAGGCUUGCAGCUUUACCAGACGCGGACAGUGGAAGCUGCAGCCAUGGAGUGAGGCCUGCUCUGGAUCAAAACAGAUCUGAUGAAGUCACUCUCAAAUCUGAGCUUGAAGCCAUGAUCAAUAGAACGGCAGAGCUGGAGGAGGAAUUAGAGAAGAAGGAAGAAGAAAAGGAGAAGCUAGAGAUGGCUCUAAGUCAAUGGCAAAAGCAACUUGAAACGUCAUGGAGUCAGCUCAAUGAGGUUGAGAUGAGAUUGACAGAUCUCCAGAAAAACAUGUUGUCUGCAGCACAAUAAUCGAAGCAAGCUGUAGAGGAGGAAGCAAGGAUUACCCAUGAGAGGAUGGAAGUAACAGAGUCAAGACUGAUGGAUGUUGAAGAGGAGAUGAAAAACUUGCUCCUUAAUGACCAAUUGCUACAAGAAGAGGUUGACAGAGAGCGUGCUUUGUCUGCUGAAAAUGAGGCAAAAUGUGGGGAGCUGGAGGAUGAAAAUCUAAAUAUGAAAAGGGAUGCUGAACUGCAGCAUGAGAUCAAGAUUCAGCGUGUGGCUGUCUCUGAUGAACAGCUAAAAGUAAAGCAGGUUAGUUCUCUAUGGCUUGUGGAUGUUAGUCUAUAUCCAAUGGAAAUCAUGAUAACAUGAGUAAAUUAUUGAGAUGGUAUUGCUCCUUUUACAUAAUUUAUCAAGUUUGCUGACAAACCCGCUACUACAUUUUGAGUGGCAAUGUUACAGUUGCAUGUAGAGUGAGUUCCAUCUGCAUGAGAAAAUAGAGAUGCCUCUCUUGGUACAUUCACACCCUGUGUCUGGACAUAUGAUUUGGGUGCUUUUUUAUGAGAUAUGACUUCAAUCUCCAAGGUCAAUAGUUAUUUAUUUAUAGCCAUCUCAAGGAAGAUGAAAUGAUUAUUUUCCAGUAACGCAGUGUGGUUUUGAUCUUCAUAUUGACAUAUAGCUAUGUUAGAAACAGGAGGGCCGCAUAAGCAUCUUGUACUUUAUUAGUACAAACUGUAUGAUUGGGGCACAAUCUAAACAAAUCUCAAAUUUCACCGUAGCAUUGAAGACAUUCAGAGGUUAAUAUAGAAUUUCAUAGCACUUGACCUUUGAUGUAAUGUAAUUUUCGAGCUUAAAAAGCACUUACAGUCCUGCGAUAGGGUGCUUCUAAACUAACUUAAAUUGAAAAUUCUCAUGCUAGGCGAACUUUUUUUUUCUUUUUUUCUAUGGGUUGUGGUGCUUUGAGCAACACUGCGCUUGUUGACACCAUCGACUAUCUGAUAGGAUCAGCUUACCAAUGUUUUAUUCAUGCUGAAUGGGCAAUCAUGACUUAGUCUGAAUUUAGUUUCCUCCUUAUGUUCUCAUUUAGUUUUGUUACGUAAAACAGGAGCAAGAGCUAGCCGUCGCUGCUAGCCAGUUUGCAGGUGCCAAAAGACUAUUUUCAUCUCUCGCUCAGCAAUUAAAAUCUCUAGCUGCAGUAGACGACUUCUUCGCAGAUUCCGAUCCAAUGUGCAAUCACAUGGAUGAAGGAUUACUAAGCCCCGAAAACGAGCUGCACCAUUUAAGCAGCCCACCGGUCCUCAUUUCUGCUGAACAAAGAUGAAAUAAUCAUGGUUUAAGGAUUUGAUUAUUCAACUAGCUGAGGCAGGAAGAUGAAAUGAGUGAGGUGAUAUAGGAGGAGUGUCUACUUUGAUUUUUUGCCUUGUGAAUAAACAACCGCCGUUGUAAAUGCAUUCAUGACAUCUCUGAAAUCGACACUCGUGAAUCUCAAGUAUACCGUUACAUAGUCAGACUUUUGAAUGAUAAAAUAUUUCAAUUCCUUCAUAGCAUGUGGAUGUCCAGAUUGCUUAAAGCUGCCAAUUGUCUUGUUUGGUGUUAGUGAGUUGUAGCAGAGGUCGUAAGCUCAUCUUGGCCCCCGGCAAUCCCAUGGCGGGCCACCUAGAAGAGUACACAUGCCCCAAACUUUCUCCGACUUUCUCCGCAAGACAAAAUAAUAAGCGACUUUCACGACCAUUUUAUUUUGACUUUUUUUUUUCCCUUACUUAGGAAAAAUCUUUAGCUAGACUGUUUGGCAACUUGGCAUUCAGUUUUUCCACUAAAUCAAAUCAGAGGUGGAUAAUAAAAUGAAAAGGAGUUGCGUAGGAGCAAUACGAAAACUAAACAGAAAAACAGUUUAUUGCUGCUACCUCAAUUUUUUCUCCAUUUUUUGCCGAACAACCCUUUUCCAACUCUUUUUUUUUUGUUAAAGCUUUCCGAAAUAAAUUUGUACGUGUUUCCGUACUCAAAAUUAAUCUAUCAAAUUUUGCACGCACUUAGUUUAAAAUCUCAUCGUGUUAUUGAGUAAAAAAAAAUUUGGUGUCCAAACCCGAUACUUCAUUUUUUUUCUAUUUCUUGCCUAAUAACCCUUUUCCAACUUUUUUUUUUUGUUAAAGCUUUCGGAAAUAAUUUCGUACGUGUUUCCGUACUCAAAAUUAAUCCAUCAAACUUUGCACCCACCUAGUUUAAAACCUCAUUGUGUUAUUGAGCAAAAAAAAUUUGGUGUCCAAACCCGACGCCUCAUUUUUUUCUCUUUCUUACCCAACAACCAUUUUCCAACUUUUUUUUUCUUUAAAGCUUUCGAAAAUAAAUUCGUACGUGCUCACGUGCUUAAAAUUAAUCCAUCGAAUUUUGCACGCACCUACUUUACAACCUCGUAGUGUUGUUGAGCAAAAAAAAAAAUUGGCGUCCAAACCCGACACCCAAAUUCUUUUUCUAUUUCUUGCCCAACAACCAUUUUUCAACUUUUUUUUUUCUUUAAAGCUUUCGAAAAUAAAUUCGUACGUGCUCUUGUGCUCAAAAUUAAUCAAUCAAAUUUUGCACGUACCUAGUUUACAACCUCAUAGUGUUGUUGAGCAAAAAAAAAAUAAGCAUAUGAACCAGACACCAUUUUUUUUUUUCUAUUUCUUGGCCAACAACCAAUUUCCAACUUUUUUUCUUUAAAGUUUUCAAAAAUAAAUUCGCACGUGCUCCCGUACUCAAAAUUAAUCGAUCAAACUUUACACGCACCUAGUUUACAACCUCAUUGUGUUGUUGAGCUAAAAAAAUUUGGCGUCCAAAUCCGACACUCCAUUUUUUUUCUAUUUUCUUGUCCAACCACCCUUUUUGGAAAUAAUAUUUGGACACUCCAUUUUUUUUCUAUUUUCUUGUCCAACCACCCUUUUUGGAAAUAAUAUUGGGUUGUGUUGGAUGGCAUAUCAUACGACUAGUGAAGAUAAAAGGAAAUAUAGGUCAGUUCAUCAAGACGUGCAAUACGAGUCUUCAUCAAUACAAACAUUAGACGCGUGGGAUGUCUUUGGGAAACAUCACAAUAUUUAAGCACAGAAAUUGCGCAUUCCAUGUAAAGAACAAUGAUCAGGAGAUACGCACAAUCAAAAUUAAUCGAACAUUAUAAAAACGAGAAAAAGUAGUUGCAUCACAACUUCAAACAUCCCUCCGACAAAUUCUGUAGUCGAAGAACGUUUCUUAUUUAUCAGAACAUCUCUGUAGCAUACAUGGAACAUAAGUAAAAACUAAAGUAAACAUAGCCAUCAACUAGUAUUUCGAGUGCCUGUGACCAAAACCAUCCGAAAAAUGAACCUCCUCAGAAUCAGAGGUAGACGCCAAAGCCGACUUUAACUGCCAGUAUAAUGUGCCGAAAGAUACUUGUACCAAAGCGCUCUGCAUCAUCGGCUCAUGAUACUUGAACAAACUUGUCUAAAGCGGAUGUAUCCAAAGCUGCAAACUCCUUAACAGCCCCAAGCACAGCAAGUCCAAGUUUUACAGCGUCAUCGUGAGUUCGUGCCUCUAGCAGGUAAAUUUUGAAUUGAAUUCUUAAUCCAAUAAAAUCAUUUUUAUGGUAGCUUGUGUAAGAGAUUCCUCUACCUCAAUGUUAAGAGGAAGAACAAGAUCAUGAAGCGAGAGCCUCAGAAGGAACCAUCCUCCAAACCCAGAUACCCGGACCUGUUUAAGCAGCAAUCAGACUAGAGAUCAGCAUCACAUGCAAAAUGCAAAGCUCACCCAGUGUCUUGCGCUAUUCAGGGAGAAAAGAAGAGAGGAAUUAACUAGAUAGCAUGGUGGACCUGCAUUUUCUUUAUAAUAAAAUACUCCUCUGAGGUCACUAGUUCAGAUAUUAUUUUGGUAAGCCCACAGCAUUUUGCUCAACUCAUUGUGGACUAUAAUUUUGACUCCUCUUGUAGAUACAAAUCAAGAACCAACAUGGACUCCAUUGCGACAUUUAACUCUCCUUCUUGCUCCCAUCCCCAGGAGCAUUCAGAACGUAUGUACUUUAAUUGAGAAUUAGAGCAUUAACUUGUCUCCUUAGCAUACGAACAAGAUAAUACACAAUAUAAAUAGCUGCUGAAAUGAUGAGGUCCAAUCUAUUAAGAAUAACUUCAUCGAUUCAAAACUUACUACUCCUUCAUAAUUUACUCCAAGAGCUUCAACACUGCCUCUCCAUAGUCUCGGAAAGAUCUGUAACCUCUACACUAUCAGGAUCUUAGAGAAGGAAAAAGAAAACGACAUUGCUAGAAACCAAGAAACCAAGUACCCUCCCUUUAAGUCCGGAUGACUCUGGUUGAUCUUCAACCUCAAUUCUACAGCAACAGCUGCUUCUUCUAGACCCUCUACCAAAUCUGUUAAGACUCUGCUGCCGCUACCUGCUCCUGAAGCUCGAGCUGAAGCAAGUUUGUUGAGAACUUUGACCUAUAACAAAAUGCUUAAUAAUUAUGACUCAAAGCUUUAAGCUCGUGCAUUGCAGUUGGGGGCAUUUAGAAUUCAUCUCUGCAACGCUCAUCUAUUUCAAAAAUUUUAAUAGCAAUUUCCAUCUGAAAUUGUACUUUAUAAAAUUAAAUCACAGAGAUCAUGCAAUUCGAAAUAACAUUAGAAUUAAGGAUACCACUUCAAAAAUGUUUUAGAACAAAAUGCUGCCAUAGAAAAGAGUGAUCAACUUUCUGGCGACUCAAUGAUUCCAACAAUCAUCUCAUUCAACUAACCAAAUCAUUUUGUUCAACUAACCAAAAGAACUAUACACAGAAAUUUAAAUUAGCAAAUGGUAGCAACCAAAGAACUAAAAAGUGAGCAUCUGUUAUCAGCAAAUUUUACAAACAAAAGAAGACCAGGAAUCAUCAAAAAGCACAAUUGUAAAAGCUUAAUACCUUAAUUGUCCAAUCUGCAGAGCCAGUGCAGAAUCAUUAAUUGCUAGGAUCAAAUGCGAUAGAUCUCACCUAUCCCAAAUGCCCACUUAUGACCUUGCACAUACAAAAAGGAGAAAACAAAACACAUAACAAUCCCAGUAAGUUUCACCAAAAAAAAAAAGAAAAAACAAUCCAAGUAAGCGAGCAAAUAACUGCAGAUACAAUAACAUGGACAAGACACAGCUGUAUGAUAAAUUCAAAUGUAUAAUUAUCAAAUGACACCAUAACUAUUACUGAAACAAAACAAGAACUUUCUUCUAGCUGCCAGAAAAAUUAGGCCACAAUUCUCACCCUGUAGUUCUUCCAUGGAGGAAUUCUUUCCAUAAUGGCUGAGGUAGACAAAUUCCUAAAAACAGAGUGAGAGCAUGAGGCCAAAGCAGAUUAAGUACCUUAGAGCAGAACUUAAGAUGACUCAGUGAUCCUUGAAUGCAUGAGUCGAAUUAUAAGAAUCCAUGAAACAGCUUUUCAGAAACCAUUAAGAAAUGUUCUGAUGUUAUGAAAACCAAAACACAACUUCCCCUCGAGAAAGAGACGCUUUAAUGUGAUGAAAACCAUAUAAAAUCUUCCAAGCAAUUUUUCCUUGGCGUGAAAGAUUUAAUCUGAUGAUCAACAUACUGAAACUUCAGGAAUUCCUAAGUGGGGUGAUAAUAGUAUCUAUGGUCACCACUUAGGGAGACAUAAGUCACUAUGACAUUGGAUUGGAUGAAUCUUCAGGUCAUCAAACAAUAAUGCAACGUAGUAACAAGCCAAACUGUAGGAACUUUUUCAACUUUUGGAGGAAAAAAUACCUUUUCAUAUCACCAAAGACGGUUAAAUGUGAGAGAUGACCCAUACUUUCUAAACGUGAACGGCACAGCAGAGAGUCACCCAGGCAUUCAAGAAUUCAUUGAAGGAGCAAAAAUGCAGGUGCAUCACCUCUCUCUCUCUCUCUCUCUGACUAAUAAAUGAAACGCCGGACUGAACUGAAGACAGGUCAAGAAGGGUACCCAGUUGGGAAAACAUUGCCAUGGAGUGGAAAGACAACGGAUGACCCGACCCGAUUGAGAACCAGCGACGACGACGCCGACCCAAAAGUCAAAGGCGCCUUUUGCCUCUGCUCAGAUCACCUCUACAACUAUCAAAAGCAGCAUGAGACCAAUAAUGCACUCCAAGUGUAAACAGAUCAGUCUAUAGACACAAACAAUCACAUCUCAUAGUAAGAACACAUGUCGAAGAGAUAAAAUGCACAUCUCGGAUUCACAAUCCACUCUGUGAGGCUAACCUUCGUGCCGAAAGGACCGACAGGAUAGUUGGCCGCGUUCUUCGGCAGGUCGUCGACGUCCCUCGCGGAGGCGGAGGUGGAGGCGUCCGUGUCGGAGUCGGGGCGACGGAGGCAACCUGUGGAGGCGGAGGCGGAGGCGGAGGGGCGUCGGCGUCGGAGUCGGGGUCGACGGAGGGGCGUCGGAGUCAGGGGCGGCCGUAAUGUGGUUUGUCGGCGACGGCAGGGGAACGGCCGCUUGAUGCACGGCGGAGCAGCAACGAGCGCGGGGAGAGAGAAAUUUUCAGAUUCAAAUUUUCAGUUUGUCGGCGACGGACUCCGACGCCGACGGAGGCAACCGGCGGAGGGCCGUCGGCGUCGCGUUUCGCGUACGGCACCAGCUUCUCCAGCAACCUCGCCUCCGAGCCUUACGCGUGCUGCAUCUGCGACCCCAGGAACGGCGGAACGAACGACGGAGCAGCAACGAGCCCGAAGAGUGAAGCGAGCGAGCACCGGAGUAGCAGCGGCCGUACUGUGGUUGGUCGGCGACGGCAGGGGAACGGCCGCUUGAUGCUCGGCGACGGCAGGGGAACGAGCGCGGAGAGAGAAUUUCAGAUUCAAAAAAUCGAAAGGAAAGAAAUGUUCCGAGUCUCCGUCCGAACGGCGUUUUCUUUCUCAAACGAAGGAAAGAGAAAAACGUCCGCAAUAAAUGCUCUGACAGGAGAGAGAGAGCGNNNNNNNNNNNNNNNNNNNNNNNNNNNNNNNNNNNNNNNNNNNNNNNNNNNNNNNNNNNNNNNNNNNNNNNNNNNNNNNNNNNNNNNNNNNNNNNNNNNNNNNNNNNNNNNNNNNNNNNNNNNNNNNNNNNNNNNNNNNNNNNNNNNNNNNNNNNNNNNNNNNNNNNNNNNNNNNNNNNNNNNNNNNNNNNAAGGUCCCAGGAGCAAAGCCGCGUGAGAUAUUUGUCCUCUAAUUGAGCCGUGCAGCGGGGGCAUAAUUAGAUCUAGCAUCGACGUCCAUAAGCUACUAUGUGGCAAAUAGGAAGUCUCCCAGUAGGGAACUAUUUGGGACACUAAAUGCUUUGACUAGAAAAUGAAGGAUGAGGAACUCUUGACGUGUAAGUGAAGUUAAGGUUCAUAUAGUUUAGAAUUUUGUCUUUCAAAAUUUGCGGGCUUCAAUCUUUGCCGCUGAACGUUUGAAUCACUCUUCCUUUCUCCCAUGCUUAGUAGUUUGAUUCAUUCUCAUCCUUUUUAUCGUCCUAGAAAUUUGUUGGAAGUCACUCCUAGAAUUUAUUAGAAUUCGCUUUUUAUUCAGUCUUUUUAGCCUGAAUGAUAAGCUUAAAAAUUUCAAUUUUCACAUAAAUAUAUUCUAAAAUUAUUCUCUCUAUUCGAUAUAUAGUUCGAUUCAUUUUUACCUCAUUCAUUAUUUUAUGAAAUUGUCAAGAGCCGCUUCUUAUGCAAAUCCUCUUAUCUUAGCGAUCACUCAUCUUUGUUGAAUCGGAUCAUUACAUUUUUUUAUUUGAUUGGUGAUGAUUUACUUGUCAUGAUAAGAUGUUAUUUUGUUACAUUGUGCCACAUCUCAUGUCAUUUCUUGCAUCACAUAGUUACAAAUUUUUUUCCGUGACUCAUCUCACAUCUCCUUGGCACUGUAGAAAUCAUAUUUACAAGAUGAAUAGUACAUCUCCUUCCAGAUGCCCUCUUUUCCUUCCCCCUUCUUCUCUCCUUCCUUUUUCUUUAAUUUACUUUUGCUAUUUUUCCUUUUCAUUCCUACCGAAAGAACCUACUACUUUUUUUGGGCAUGACCGGGGGGAGAGAGAGAGAGUAUAUUUUAUUGAAGAAAUUAACGAGGUUGUGUUUGGGUGUGAAAGCACAAAUGGCUAGAAGAAUUUUUUUUUUAAAAGAGAGGAAAGUAAAAGGAAGAAGGGAAGGAUAUAAGAUGAGAUGUGACUGGAUAGGACGCGUUUAACUUAGGCUCCGUUCGUUUCGCGGAAAAUAUCAUGUUUCCGGAAAAUAUUUUCCUGGAAGUCAUUUUCCAAUGUUCGGCCAAAAUCUAAAAUUUCAAUGGAAAAUAUUUUCCACCGUUCGUUAGCUCAUUUAAUUAUUUGGAAAAAUUUAUCAAAAAUUGAAUUUUAAUGUUUUUAAAUGACCAAAAAAAUUAUUUUAUUUAUUUAUAUUAUUUUAAUGAUUUUUUAAUUAUUUAUAUUUUUAAAAUCGAAAUUAUUAUUAUUUUCUUUUUCUUUUUCUUUUCCUUCCUCCUUCCUCCUCCUCCUUCUUCCUCCUUCCUCUGCCGUCGCCUCCUUCCUCCUCCUUCUUCCUCCUCCUUCCGCCGCCGCCACCUCCUUCCUGCCUGACAAUGGCCGGCUGCCUAGCGACCGACCAAGACCCGGUGGCCAGAUUCGGCGAGCUCGAGGCUCAGCCGAUCUCACCCAAGCUCGCCGGAUCUGGCGACAGAGCUCGAGCUAGCCGAUCCGCCAGAUCCGAUGAGCCGCGAGCUCCGCCGCCGCGGUGCUCCCUCUUGAGCCGGAUCCUCCCGAGCGGCUUCGAAUCACCGGGGAAGCGGAGCGCUGCGGCGGCGGCGGUGCCACGGUCGGAGCAGGCGGGCAGAGCCCUGGGAGGGCGGAGAAUGAGGGAUGCUUCGCCCAUCGUCGGCGUCGAAGGAGGAGGAGGAGAUCAGAAACCCUAAGCGAGAGUGCAAAAAUGAGAAGGAAAAAGGAGCGCGAGGGCGAGCGUGAGAGGCCAGGAAAAUGUUUUCCUCUUUUCAAAAGAGGAAAACAUUUUCCUCAAAGUCAAGAGAGAAUUUUCCGUUGACCGGAAUAUUUUCCUUGACCAUGAAUUUUCCGUCCACCGAACACUGGAAAUCCAGGAAAAUAUUUUCCUGGAAGUUGUUUUUCGUGAAACAAACGAAGCAUUAAAGUCAAGAAGAGGAUGUGUGGUGGGGAGUCGAUGGCCGCACGUUACACGCUACGAGUCAAAGGUGUUGUACCUCAAUUAGAUUUGAAUGAAGAACAAUCAGAACCCCUCGUUCACUUUUCUAAGCGAUGCAUUGCAAUAUGUAAUUACACCCUACAUUGCAUUGGUCGGGUAGGUUUUUCUAUCAUAGUUUUUAGCAAAUGAAAGAGUCAAUCUUUCUAUCUCACGAAUCGGGACUUUUGUCACUUUCCUCAUCCGUGCGUACCACUCUUUUUUCGGCCCAAUUCCAAAAAAAAAAAAAUUCCCAAAUUUUAGAUUUAGCCCCAUAUCUAUCCCACACUUUUUUUUUAUUUCAAAAAAAAAAAAUCCCAAAUUUCAAGUUUGUCUUAAAUUUGCCUCGAACUUUUUUUUUUUUUUUUAAUCUCAAAACAACCUCAAACUUUAAAUCCAAUUUCAAAUCUAUUCCGAUUUUUUUUGUCGAAAAUAAAAUCAUCAAUUUUUACUCUAGUCCUAAAUUGCUCCCUUAGCUCUCUAUCCAAAAGUCGCGAUUAGUAGUCUCUAAUUUUUUUUAUCCUAGAGCUGUUUAUUUGAAGAUAAUUUUCUAUGCCGUCUUGUCAAUAUGUACUUAUUAUCGAUGUGGAAAUGCCACGUAAGUUGGGAUUGGACCAUGAGGUAAAUUUGAGGAUGAAUUAAAAGUUGGUGAUAUUUUUGGUACAAAUGGAGGGUAAACUUCAAAUUGAUAUAUCCAUCAACUGUCACAUAUCAUAUAACUCAAUAAUUUAACAAUAAAAUUUAACGGAAACAAUCGGAGAUUAAAUUUGUUACAUGUAUAUCAAUUUAAGAUUUUUCGUGGUCAAAAAAUUAAUUUGGAGUAAAUUUAUCAUAUAUAUCAAUAACUUUAGACAAAAAAAAAUUCGGAAUAAAUUUAGAACUGAACUUAGUGUUUUGGAUUUUUUCUAAAACAAAAGAAAAGUUCAAGGCAGAUUUGGGAGUGAAUCUAAAAUUUGCAUUUUUUAAGAUAAAAAAAAGUUCAGAAUAGAUUUUUUGGGCAAAUUGAGAGUAGACCUAAAGUUUAACAUUUUUUCUGAAAUAAAAGAAAUGUUUGAGGCAGAUUUAAGAAUGGGCGUAAAAUUUAAAUUUUUUAAAUAAAAAAAUUCGAGAUAAAUUUGAAAUUAAACUUAAAAUUUGAUUUUUUUUCUUUUUGGAAUUGACCCCCUUCUUUCCGCGUCGGCAAAGCCACAAAACUCUUCUUCUUGGCGUCAAUGUGAAACAUACUGGUGUCCUCCAACUAUUCAAAAGCCAAAAAGGAAAAGCACCCACGUCAAUCAGUACCUUCGCCGAAUCGUCAGCCAAAAGAUUUGUCCAAGGACGCUUUAUUCUCCCCUAUUCUCCCCUAUGCGCAGAAUUUGACAAGGGAUACAGUAACUCUUGUCUUCAACGAAAAAAAUCAUUUGAAAUCAACGUCUACUUGUCGAGUCUAUUGUGUAGGAAAUAGUAAGGGUAAAUAGUAGGUAACUAUUUGGCAGAUGUACAUGAAGAUGAGGAGCUAUUGAAGUCAUCCAUGAAAGCUCAGGUUCUUUCAAAGUUUGCAGGCUUCAAAUUGAGGUGAGAAAGAAAGAGCUGGCGGUAAAGAAAUAAAAAAGAGUUCGCUUCCCUCCAACUGUUUUUGCGUGUCAUGUGAAAAAAAAACAAUUAUAAUAGUAAGUGUAAGCUUCCAUUAAUCAUAAAUUAGGUGUGAUAGUUGGGUGAUAUAUAUUUUAUUUGUGUGUUAUAUUUAUACCGCAUUUUAAAAUAAGUAUGUCAUAAAUUGCUCAUUAUAAUUUUUUCAUAUUACCAUCUUCAUACUUCUGUGCCUAAUAACAAUGAUGAAUGAUAUCUACUUUUAGGACGAAUUUUAGUCCAAGUCCAAUUUAACAUAAUUUUCCAGUGAAACCAUUAACGGCCUCAUUUUUUUAAUUAAAAGUUUGAAGACAUGGCAUAAUUUUUGCGAUGCACUUAGCUCAAAAUUGGAUACUCGCACUGGUCGCCUGAUCUGGAAUAGUACCAAAUCCACAUGGGGGGCAUGAAAUGACGUUUUCUUUGGCCAAAAUAGAGACUAGAAAAGGCACAAUAGAAUAUCUUACUUACAAAGCUUUGUAUCUUGACUAUAUCUUCCGGUAGCUUUACUCGUAUCCAAUCCUGAUUUGAACACUUGAUUUCCUUCCGACUCAAUGAUUCUCCUUUCCAUGUCUUCUUGAUCUUGAGGUUAAUUAGCUAUUUAUUAUGUUCUGCGAAAUCACUAUUAAAAUCAAUAAGGAUAAUUAUCAUUGAUGAAGUAUUGAAUUUUUCUAUCGAUUACCUAUGACAUAUCCUAAAUUAAUCAUCUUGACUUCCAGCUUUUUAAUAGUCUAUCAUGAUCUUUCCGAUGCAUAUAUCUACCAAAAAUAAAGAACCGGACAUUCAAGAUUCAAUUAUGUGAUCCUUUGACGACACUAAUCAUUCUCUCUAACUUAGGUUUUCCCACAUUUUUAUUUAACAUAGAACUUUACUUGGGACUCUUUCUUCAAAUCAAUUUUGGCAUCCCUAGCAUAACAUUCUUUUUUUUUUUGGCUGCUGGAGGAAUCGCUUUGACUAAUAGCCACCACGUAAACUCCCAGGUGGCGAUAGCAGGGAAACCACCACCCCGACGCCAUGCGUAAAUCGCCUAAUAAUCCGCCAACCUCCCUGCAACUUGCGUUGCAGGGCCUUCGAACUCCCGACCUCCCGUUUGGAAGUCUGGAGCCUACCCAACGGAGCCACCACGGCUGGUGGUCCCCAGCAUAACCUUUUGAUACAUAGAAAGAGGGUCCUUGGAGUAGGCAAUGAACAUGAACCUUCAAAAGCCACAAAAUCCGAGAUCUGCUCAGCUAUCUACUGAUGCUUGCUCUUUUCUAGAAAAAAAUUUCACUUUUUUUGUGCAUAAUGUGAUGAAGGAUUAUCGAUUAAUUUGGAGCUAUUUCUGUGGUUGAUCAAUUACUAUUGAACAAAAGAAAAAGAAAUUGUUACUGAAAAUGACACUGUUUCUCCAUUUCAUUGAUGAGCAAUAGCUUUACUCAUCUACACAUGCCUGGAUUCACAUUCUUGAAAAUGUAUAUUACGGAGCGGAUAUAGAGAAAAUGGUGCAAGGGACUAAUGGGAAAGGAGAUAAAUGAGUGAGAUUAAUAUGCUUGCAAGGGCUAUGUUGUUCCACAAUGUCACUAAACCAUCUCUUCAUUCAUGAGCCAAACUUAAUCACUGUUCUGAGGUCUGGGGGUGGAGUUUGUGGGGGAGCAAAUGCACUAAUGCUGGCGCAACAUCAACAUUUGCUUUCUAUUAUAAAAAACACAUGUCUAGAUUUUCUCUUUCUCAUGGAUCGAUCCGGAAUAAUGACUUCCUCAAAUACUCUGGCUCGUCAAAUGUGCUAAGCGAUGACGAUGAUGAAUAAAGCAGGUUGUGUCAUCCACAUAGGUAUAUUGGAGUUGUGAAAUUGAGACCUGGUGGGUGUUGUGCAGAUGAUUAUUCGAGCCAGGAGUGCAGCCAGAACUUAUUGAACUGCAUGACCAACUUCAAGAACUUGGGAGGCCGAACAUUUAAAGGAAGCAAAUGCCAAGUCGAGGAUGUUGUCGACAUCCUCUGUGUUGUCAUGGAAGCUGCAUUGCUUGCCGGAAGAUAUCUCCACAAGCCCUGAAUCUCUAUCCAUGUUCUAGGGAUAUAUCAAAUCGGAUCCCUUCAUUCACUUUGUGAUCAUCCCUUUGUUCUUUGAUUUUUUUUUUUUUUUGCUUCUAGCUGUUUUCUGUGUCUGUUCUUAUUCUAUUGCAAAAAUGGGAAAAAGUAAAAAGAAAACUGUGAAGUGCCUUUCUUUUCCUUUCCUAUAGAAUUGGAAGAGCAACGGACAAUGAGCAUGGAGUUCAAUUUUAAUUGCAGAAACAAGAACUUAAAGUGGCAUGGAGCUCAAAACCAAAGGUCCACGUACAAAUUUAGAACGCAAGUAAUGUGAAUGAACAUACUGGUCUCUACUUCUACACUUAAUUAAGUAAUGCUAACAAACUCAUGAUUAAGGCGAAGGAAUUUAAUUUUAUCAAUGAGAAAAGACCUUUGAAUUGAUGAGAAAUAGCUUUUUGCUAUGCUAGCUAUCAAAAUACAUUCUCUCCGGAGCAAAAGAAUUUCAAAUCAUUGAAUAUGGACUUAGUUUAUGCUAAAUCCUAAAACUCUGCAAAUGCGCCCUUUGUUUCUAGUGUUAUGAUGUUCAAUCUUUGGCGUAAGGAAUCACACGAUCUCUGGUUGAUAUUUUCCUCGAGUUCAUAAGAAAAUUGCUGUGAAGUGUCAAUCCUUCAACAAAUCAAGAGUUCUAUCAAUAUAACUUUAGAGUCUCAAGCUACCUGAACUGUCAAGAACAAUCAUUACAGAAUAGCAACCUUCAUGAAUUGCGUCAAUUCAAACAAAUGCUUCAACAAAUUGAAAAACUACCAAUAAGAAAGGCAUUAACAGCUCCUGCAAAUCAUGCCAUAAUGUGCCAUUGAGGAAUCUCCAUCUUUCCAGAGUUGUCUUGAGACCAAAACUCUCACAAAGCAAUCACAACGUCCAACUCUGCAUUCAUCUCGGUGACAGAACAAAUAAUCCAUUUUACAGUUGUUGGAGAAAUCUUCUUGAAGUGUUUUGAAGCUGACAAAACGUUUCUAUCAGUCUAGUCUGAAGGCUUGCAAACUCUGCUAUUUAAAGUCUGAAGACUUCCGGACAGCCAGACUCAAGACUCAAAGUCUAUCCUCAUUGACAGUCUCUAAUCCGUUGAAGAAAGGCUAUCCAAAACUGGAUGUUUCGUCAAGGAUUUAACCUUAUCAACUGGAGAAGAUCUCGUGGCUGGAAAAGACAUAAUGGAAUCCUUUGAUUGAUCGAGAUUGACUCGAUGAUUGAAGAUCCGGUGAUUGACUAAAUAUUAUUGGAAGGUUCUACUUAUGGAAACCGAGAUCCUGAUUGUAUGGGCGAACAUGAUUGAUGGGCUAUCGACACAUUCCUUUAAUAGCUUGAACGAUCUUCCUAAUUGAUUCCGUCCAACGGGUAGAUUGGAGGAAUUCCUUUGGUAAGUGCCAACGGGUAUGAUGGCAUAAAGGAGUAUAUAAGGAAGACGGUCUUAGUUGUUGAGGUGUGCGCGAUAGAAGAAUUCCAAAGUCUGAAGCUCUUUUUUGUUUAGACAAUUCCUUUGAGCGAAUACUUGUAUACAAAAGAGAGUCUAUAUUUGUGAGAAACCUUGAGGAGGUGUGAUAGAACAUCUACACUGUGGAAUCAAGGCAAAGCUGUGCUGUAACUUCUCUUUUGAUCAUAGUGAAAUCCAGCCGGUGGGCUGUCAGUGCGGAAGAGUGGACGUAGGCUUGGAAUAAGCCGAACCACUAUAAACCCCGUGUUCAAUUUUCUCUUCCUUACUCUCUUUACUUUGAUCGUACUUCAUUUUCGCUAAUCAUAGUAAACUNNNNNNNNNNNNNNNNNNNNNNNNNNNNNNNNNNNNNNNNNNNNNNNNNNNNNNNNNNNNNNNNNNNNNNNNNNNNNNNNNNNNNNNNNNNNNNNNNNNNCUCUAGGUGAUUAUACUAGCUAUCACAAUUGGUAUCAGAGCCCGUGUACUCACAUUGUUUGAAGUGUUUUACUUCAGAGUUAAAGAUCCAUGGCUAGUAUGUUGGCUCCAGGGCUGGUAGAAGGGCAAAGCAACACGAGACCUCCUUACUUUGAUGGAAAGGACUACAACAUAUGGAAAAACAAGAUGAAGGCGUUCUUAAGGUCAAAGGAUCCUCUGGAAUGGGACGUUGUAGAAAAAGGAAUCGUUCCUAAAUCUGCUCCUGUCUCAGAAAGAGGAAAAGACUCUGUUGAGUCUAGUGAAAUGACUCAGGAAGAGAUGAUCAAGAGACAAGCUCUUGAUGCAAAAGCAAUUUAUUCUUUAUAUUGUGCUUUAUCACCUACUGAAUAUAACAUAAUAUCUUUUUGUGAUACAGCCAAAGAAGUCUGGGAUAGAUUACACAUCACAUAUGAAGGAACCGAUCGAGUGAAAGAGACAAGAAUCAAUAUUCUUCUUGGUCAAUACGAAGCCUUCAGAAUGAAACCAGAAGAAUCUAUCACUGACAUGUUUAGUCGUUUUACAGAUAUCGUGAAUGGUCUUGAAAAUCAAGGUCAACCAAUUUCUGAUCCCAUGAAAGUAAACAAGUUACUGCGUGGACUCUUCAAGGAUUUGAAUCAUAUAAAGACCUCAAUCAGGGAGACCCAAAGAAUCAUGCCACUGUCUGUCAAUGAGUUGGUUGGGACUCUUCAAUCCUAUGAAGUGGAACGAAUCAAUGAAGACGAAGACCCUAAAGGUAAGAAAUCUAUUGCAUUAAAAUCUAAUGACGAUUCUGAUGUAACAGAUUCUGAAGACGAUGUGGAUGAUGAAGAACUUGCUCUUAUGAUAAGAAGAUUCAGAAAGCUGAAUAGAAAAGGAAAAAGAUUCAAUGCAAAUAAACAAAGUUUUCAAAAGCAACAGACCAAGUCUGCUGAAGAUGAAGAAUCAAACAAAGAUGUAGUCUGCUUUGAAUGUAAAAAAAAGGGACACAUCAGACCCAAUUGUCCUCUUCUAAGGAAGAAGAAAGGAAAAACUGAAAGAUAUGGAAAAGCUCUCAAAGCUGAAACCUGGAGUGAUAUAGAGUGCGAAGAUAGUGAUGAUGAUUAUGCCAACAUAUGUCUAAUGGCACAAUCAGAUUCAGAAUCAAACUCCGAGAUUGAUUCAGAUUCAGAAAGUGAAUUCGAGGUAAGUAACUUCAAAAUCCCUAUUAAAGUUUCAAAAUACAUUGAUGAAUUAUGUUUUAGUCUUAAGACUUCUCUUAAAAGAAUUUCAGAACUCAAAAAGGAAAAUUCUGCUUUGAAACAACAAGAGAAUGUUUUGGAGAAAAAAAUGAAAUGCUUAGACCAGAAUGUUUCUUCUCUCAAAGAAAGUGAAAAUAAUCUUUUAAAAGAAAAUGCAUUCUUGAAAAAUGAUAUUUCAAAUAUUUCCAAAAGAUUUUCUUUAGGUUAUGAAAAACUGGAGAAAAUACUUUCUGUUCAAAGACCUUAUUUCAAUAAAUCUAGAUUGGGAAUGACUGCUGAAACUAUUCCUUUAAUCGAUUUUCCUAAAGUAAAAGAAAGAAUCAAGCAAAGACCUACAAGAAACGCUUACAAAAAUCAUUUUGAAAGGAACUUUGUAAAACUAGUAGGUCGCAAUGCUCUUAGAUGUUCAAAAUGCAAUAGUGCAGAUCAUUUUGAGAAAGAAUGUCCUAUGGUUUGGAGACCUGUCAAUAAAGUCUGGGCAAAAACCGUAUAUCAGACUAACUCAAAAGGACCCAAGAAAAUAUGGGUACCAAAGAAAGCUUGAGUUUCUUUUUGAAUGCAGGUCACUAUCAAGAAAAAAGUGAAAUGGUAUCUGGAUAGUGGAUGCUCCAGACACAUGACAGGAGAUUCAAAUUACUUCGUAAAGCUCGUUCAAGUGAAUGGUGGAAAAGUCUCAUUUGGAGGAAACAUCAAAGGAAAAAUAGUGGGAUUUGGAACUGUAAAGAUUGGGAACCUCACAAUAAGCAAUGUUUCUUUAGUUGAAGGGCUCAAUUACAAUCUGCUUAGUAUCAGUCAGCUUUGUGAUGCCGGUUUUAGAAUCAACUUUCAAGAGGGUAUUUGUUCAGGAACCAGUAAAGACUCUACUCAGUCAUUCAUGGGUUGAAGACAUGGGAAUAUCUACCUCUUAAACGUGAAACCAGAUGAAUCGUAAUGUCUAAUCUCAAUCCAAGACGAAGCAAACUUAUGGCACAAAAAGCUUGGGCAUAUCAACAUGAAGCAGAUAGCCAAAAUCUCAGCAAAGAAGCUUGUUCGUGGUCUACCCAAUUUAUCAUAUCAAAAGUCCGAUCUAUGUACACCAUGUAUAUUGGGAAAACAGGUAAGAAAUUCCUUUAAACCAAUAAAUCAAGUUUCCACUAACCGUGUACUGCAGCUCUUGCAUAUGGAUCUCUUCGGACCAACCAGAACGCAGAGCAUUGGAGGUAAGAAAUAUUGUCUAGUAAUUAUGGAUGACUACUCACAAUUUACUUGGGUAUAUUUCUUGGUAAGUAAGUCUGAAACUUUCUCUUACUUUGAAAAAUUUGCUAAGAAGGUUCAAAAUGAAAAGGGGUAUGUAAUUUCAAGUAUAAAAACAUAUCAUGGAGGUGAAUUUGAAAAUCAAGACUUUGCAAAAUUUUGUGAUGAAUCUGGUUUUCAACAUUUGUUCUCCUCUCCAUAUACUCCAGAGCAAAACGGAGUCGUAGAAAGGAAGAAUAGAUCUCUUCAAGAAAUGGCUAGAACUCUUUUAAUUGAAAGCAAUAUCUCUUUACGAUUUUGGGCUGAAGCAGUUUCAAUAUCAUGUUAUAUUAUCAAUAGAGUCUUUCUAAGGCCUAUUCUAGAAAAAACCCCCUAUGAACUAUUUAAAGAAAAGAAGCCAAUUGUUUCAUAUUUUCAUGUUUUCGGAUGCAAAUGUUUCAUAUUGAAAAAUGCAAAUGAUCGAGUUGGUAAGUUUGAAGAAAAGUCAGAUGAAGGCAUCUUCCUUGGAUAUUCAACCACAAGUAAAGCGUACAGAGUCUACAACAAGAAGACUCAAAUUGUGGAAGAAUCAAUGAAUGUCAAUUCCAAGAUUUCAUUCAAAAUAAAUCCAUUCAUACUCAUCUAGAAGAAACUGAAUCUGCUCCAAACUCAACAAAGUCUAAAUCUCAAGAAGCAGCUCAGAUUUUGAAGGAUCAGCAACAAGUAACUGUUGAAGAUUCAAGUGAAGGAAGUGAUCAUCAAUUAAUCGGCAACUGGAAACAUAAGUCCAGUCAUCCCGGAGAUCUUAUUAUUGGCGACAUCAAUGAAGGAAUUCGCACAAGAUCCAAAAGGCGAGAAGAGUCUAGUGCCGUGGCUCUUAUUUCUGAAAUAGAACCCAAGAGCAUAGAAGAAGCUUUAUCUGAUGAAAGCUGGAUUGAAGCUAUGCAAGAAGAACUCAGACAAUUCAAAAUUAAUGAUGUCUGGGAAUUAACUCCAAAACCGAAAGGUAAAUCAGUUAUUGGAGGUAAAUGGGUUUUCAGAAACAAGAUGGACGAGAAAGGUAAAGUCAUAAGAAACAAAGCAAGACUCGUGGCCAAAGGAUACACACAAGAAGAAGGGAUCGACUAUGACGAGACUUAUGCACCGGUAGCAAGGUUAGAAGCAAUUCGUUUAUUACUUGCAUUUGCUUGUCAUAAAAAUUUUAGGUUAUUUCAAAUGGACGUCAAAAGUGCUUUCCUAAACGGAUUCAUCCAUGAGGAAGUCUAUGUGGAACAACCACCAGGGUUUGAAGACCCAAAGAAACCAGACUCAGUAUUCAGACUCAAAAAGGCCUUAUAUGGCUUAAAGCAAGCACCUCGAGCUUGGUACGACAGAUUAAGUAAGUUUUUAAUUCAAAAUGGAUUUGUUAAAGGUAAAGUGGACACUACUCUUUUUAUUAAAAAAGAAAGCAAAAGUUUUCUGCUUGUUCAAAUAUAUGUCGAUGAUAUUAAUUUUGGAUCCUCUAAUGAAAGUCUGUGCAAGAAAUUUUCAAAGACUAUGCAGGAUGAAUUUGAAAUGAGCAUGAUGGGUGAGUUAACCUUCUUUCUUGGACUUCAAAUAAAACAAUUGGAGGAAGGAACUUUUAUUCAUCAAGAAAAGUAUGCAAAUGAUCUAGUCAAAAAGUUCGGUCUGAACAAUUGCAAAAAUGCCGACAUACCAAUGUCAAGUUCCUUGAAGAUAGACAAAGAUGAAGAAGGGAAGAAAGUCGAUCAAAAGAUGUACAGGAGUAUCAUCGGAUCUCUUCUUUAUCUUACUGCUUCUAGACCUGACAUUUUGUUUAGUGUUUGCAUUUGUGCCAGAUUUCAAUCAGACCCAAAAGAAUCUCAUUUGAAUGCUGCGGAGCGUAUUAUUAAAUAUGUUUCAUCAACUUCAAGCAUCGGUCUAUGGUAUCCUAAGAAGGGAGACUUUAAUCUUAUAGGAUAUUCAGACGCAGAUCUGGCCGGUUGCAGAGUUGAUAGAAAGAGCACUUCGGGAACUUGCCAGUUGCUUGGAAGCAGGAUGGUGUCUUGGUUUUCAAGGAAACAAAGCACUGUGGCUCUUUCAACAACAGAAGCAGAGUAUGUAGCUCUUAGAAGUUGCUGUUUGCAAAUUCUAUGGAUAAAACAACAGCUAAGAGACUUUGAAAUUGAAGACUCAUGCACGGAGAUUAAUUGCGACAACACCAGCGCUAUCAACCUCACCAAAAAUCCAAUUCUCCACUCAAGAGCAAAGUACAUAGAGAUUCGACAUCACUUUAUUAGAGACCAUGUUCAAAAUGGAGAUGUUUCAAUUCAAUUUGUUGACUCAAAAAACCAAUUGGCGGACAUAUUCACAAAGCCUUUGGAGAAAAAUCAAUUUGAAUCUAUCCGUUCCAGACUCAACAUUUUGAGGUAUGAGGAAAUCAAAGUCUAAAGACUUUCAGACUCAGAUACAAGACUUUAUCUGUAAGAUAGUCUUAGUACGACCGUCAGACUGUAAGUCUUUCUCUCUCUAAUUUUAUCUUGAAGAGGUACGAUCGUCAGACUGUGUUUAAAUUGUUGUUAUAUUUAAUCGUCGCAUCAUUUCAUUUUCCAAAAAGAAGUUAUUUUUAAAAUGACUAUUUUUCACGGAAAAAGACAGUUAUUUUAAAAAGGCAUCUUUUUACCUUCCUUUUGUGACGGUUCGUUUAUCUCUCUUUUUAACCGAUCGACUCCUCUUCACUUUACUCUAAAAAACCCUAGAAAGCAUCGAUCCUCCAUUCCCGUUUGUCUUCUUUGUUUAAUCCUAAAAAAAGUUGUCAUCUUUCUUGGGAAAGUCAAGCAAGGAAUCUUCUAAAAACUGAGAAAGAUGUCAUCUUCAAGAAAGUCUUCGAGAAUCGCAAGCAGGGGACCACAGUGAAUGAGUGAGGGGCCUACGCACUUCGAUCUUACUGAAGAAGAAGUGUCUCCAGAACAGCAACCGAGUCCACAACAUUCUCAGCAGCGUCAUUCUCCUCCAUCUAGUCCUCAAGGCGUUGAUCAUCAACAACAGGAAGAAAUCAUCGAGGAUGCAGACCCAGUAAGAGUUCAAAAGCCCGCUUUUAUUUACAAGCUAUAUCGUGCCUUAAAAGGAAUUCAUACUCCUUUGAACUAUGUUGAUGAUUUUCUUAAAGACAAAGGAUAUAAGAACGAAUAUAUCUUUCUGCGAAAAAUGGAAGUUUGGGAAUUGCUCGUAAAGGGGUGGCUGAGGAAACCCUUGCGAAUACCCCAAGUGAUCCUCGUGACUGGGGGCGAAUCCUGUAGAUGGGAAUGAUGAUGACAAUUUGUUUAGGCUAUUUCAACCGAAAAUGGGUAUUGCGGCUGAAAUUCAAGGAAAAAGGGGAGAUUUGUUCAGAUCGAAGGAACAAAAGGAUCUGUACUCGAAAUUGCUGAAGCGUGGGGUAAUAAACCCUAGGAGUGUGGAUUUUGAUUUUCUGGAUGCUGUGAAAGUGAACUUGAGGGAAAAGUUCAGUUAUCUUCAACUUGAAAAGUUCUGCUUUGACUCUACUGAGGCCUAUGUUGGAUUAACUGCAUAUUUCUAUUCAAAUCUUAGCUUUUUGGAUGCGAAUAGAUUCUCUUUCAGCGUUAAAAACCAAGACUAUGUUGUGGAUAUGAAUAUGCUGGCAGAUGUGUUAGAAGUUGAGAGAGGCAGAUAUCAACCAAUCAAAGUUUCCAUUGCUCGGGCCACACUAGAACUGGUGAAGGACAUGAGAACAGAUGAGAAGAUCACCUACUUAAGGAUGAGUGCAUUCAACAUCUUGCUUCACAAGAUUGUGAUUAAUUGCCUUUGACCGAAAUCAACUUCCAAAACUGAUGUUUUAAGUUCAGAGGCAAAGUUGAUGUAUGCCAUCCUCUGUGGAAAAAAUUUUUCUCUCCCUCAUACUGUUAUGUUUCACAUGUAUAGAGCAGUGAUGAAGGACAAAGGUCAACUUCCUUACCCAAACCUUGUUACAAAGUUAUUCAGACACCUGAAUAUUCAGCCUCCACAAAUCUUUUGUGUUCGAUCAUGCGAUCAUAUGGUGGUAGGACUGAAAAUGGUGACCAAAAUGCGUCUGAAGGAACUGAGCAAGGAGUUGGAGAAAUUCAAGGAGAAGACUCCUACCAAAUCUCAUCAAACCUCUUCUGUAGCUAAAAGAAAAGGGAAGGAGCCCAUGGUUGCUCCAUCCAAAAGAAGAAGAGCUCUCCUCGUUGAGGAUGAAGAUGAUGAAGAUGAUAUCACCAUCUCUGCAAUGGCUUUGAAGAAUUUAAGUCGUCCUGUUCCACAGAAAGACUCGGAACAAAUGACAAAAGAAGCAGAGGAGAAGGAUGCAGAGGAGAAGGAAGAAGAAGAUGAUAUAGCUAGUAUAAACACCUAGAGGGGGGGUGAAUAGGCGCACAAACAAUUCUUCUUGAAUACGGAAGCGAUUCUUAAUAGAUUGAAAUAAAGAGAGUAAGGAAGAGAGAAUUAAACACAUGAUUUAUAGUGGUUCGGCUUAUUCCAAGCCUACGUCCACUCUUCCGCACUGACAGCCCACUGGCUGGAUUUCACUAUAAUCAAAAGAGAAGUUACAGCACAGCUUUGCCUUGAUUCCACAGUGUAGAUGUUCUACCACACCUCCUCAAGGUCUCUCACAAAUAUAGACUCUCUUUUGUAUACAAGUAUUCGCUCAAGAGAUUUAUCUAAACAAAUAGGAGCUUCAGACUUUGGAAUUCUUCUAUCGCGCACACCUCGAACAACUAAGAACGACUUCCUUAUAUACUCCUUUGUGCCAUCAAAUCCGUUGGCACUUACCAAAGGAAUUCCUCCAAUCUAACCAUUGGACAUAAUCAAUUAGGAAGAUUGUUCGAGUUAUUAAAUGAACAUGUUGAUAGCCCAUCAAUCCUGUUCGCCCAUACAAUCAGGAUCUCGGUUUCCAUAAGUAGAACCUUCCAAUAAUAUAUAGACAAUCAUCGAAUCUUCAGUCAUUGAAUCAAUCUUGAUCAAUCAAAGGAUUCUGAUACGUCUUCUCCAGCCACGAGAUCUUCUCCAGAUGAUAAGGUUAAAUCCUGAACCAACCACCUAGUUCUGGAUAACCUUUCUUCAACGGAUUCGAGACUGUCAAUGAGGAUAGACUUUGAGUCUUGAGUCUGGCUGUCCGGAAGUCUUCAGACUUUAAACUGACAGAGUCUGCAGACUUUCAGACUAGACCGAAGGAUACGUUUUGUCAACUUCAAAACUCUUCAUGAGGAUUUCUCCAACAAUCUCCCCCUUUUUGAUGGUGACAAAACCUUCCUGCAGAUUUGGAUAACUUUGACCUGCAAAAUAUUUCUCAAACACAUAUGCAUAUCUUAUUGAAAUAAAUGGCUAAUAGAAUAACACUAGAUUCUGCAACCACAGAAAAUAAGUUAGUCCAAUAUAUGAUUAAGCCAUUCAUAAGAUAUCAAUAUUGAUAAAUAGAAGCAGUCAAGUUAAAUCCAAGUCUAGGCAUCCAGACACAAAAACACAGUCAAACCGGUUCAAACCAUAAACCUCAAAUUUGUCCAAAAAGAUUAAUGAAGGUAAAGAGUUUUUGAAUCAAAAUCUUGCAUCUCUCCCCCUUUUUGUCAUCAUUGAAAAGGAUGAGAUGAAGUUGAAGAAAGCUUGGGAACACGGACAAGCUGGAUAUCUUCCAUAGACUGAACGAUGCAUUCCAGCCUCUUAAAGUCUUCCUUCAGCUGAACAACCUCCUCACUCUUAGCAUUGGCCUGAUUCUGAAUAGAGAGGGCUUGCAUCUUGUCAUUCAAUGAACAUGAAGAAGCUUGACUUUCAUUCUUCAAGCUUUGAACUUCGCAUCCCAAGGCAUAAAUCUGACCUUUCAUCUCCAAGAGAAUGUCCAUGAUUCUGCGAAAAUCUGCUCCAUUAUCAGUCUGAGUACUUGCUUCUGCUCGUUCUGAUGGAGUAAAAGCAGAUGAUGGAGGAUCAGCAUAAUCUCGCAGAUUUGGCGAUGAAGCUUCAUGACCUUCCUCUGGAAAUUGAGAUGCAUAGACAUCUUCUGGGUCUGCAGGCGAGCGACUGACUCCUUCACUUUCAUCUCGAUAUGAAGAUGUCACUCCUUUCUCCUGAUCUCCCCCUGUUUCAAUGCCUACGGGAGGAGAAGAGAUUCCUUCAGGUUCUCCUUCUCUUCUUUCUUCUUUAGAUCUUGCUUGAUCUGCUUCUUGCACUUUUUCUCUUUCUUCAUUUUUCUUCUUCUCUGCUUCUUUUUCUUCUUCUUCCUUCUCCUCUGCUUCUUUCGUCAAUUGUUCCGAAUCAUUCUCUGGAACAGGACGACUCAAGUUUUUCAAUGCCAUUUCAGAGAUGGUGAUGUCGUCGUCAUCAUCUUCAUCCUCAACGAGGAGAGCUCUUCUUUUCUUUGAUGGAGCAACCAUGGGCUCCUUCCCUUUUCUCUUAGCAGAAGAGAGUUGAUGAGACUUGGCAGGAGUCUUCUCCUUGAAUUUCUCCAAUUCCUUGCUCAGUUCCUUCAGACGCAUUUUGGUUACCAUUUUCAGUCCUACCACCAUAUGAUCGCAUGAUCGAACACAAAGGAUUUGUGGAGGCUGAAUAUUCAGAUGUCUGAAUAACUUCGUAACAAGGCUUGGAUAAGGGAGUUGACCUCUGUCCUUCAUCACUGCUCUAUACAUGUGAAACAUGAUAGUAUGAGGAAGAGAAAACUUCUUUCCACAGAGGAUAGCAUACAUCAGCUUUGCCUCAGGGCUUGAAACAUCAGUUUUGGAAGUAGAUUUCGGCCGAAGGCAAUUAAUCACAGUUUUGUGAAGCAGGAUGUUGAAUGCAUUCAUCCUUGAGUAGGUGAUCUUCUCUUCUGUUCUCCUAUCCUUCACCAGUUCAAGUGUAGCACGAGCAAUGGAAACCUUUAUCGGUUGAUAUCUCCCUCUCUCAACUUCCAACACAUCAGCCAGCAUAUCCAUAUCAACAACAUAAUCUUGAUCUUUGACACUGAAGGAAAAUCUAUUCGCAUCUAAAAAGCUAAGAUUUGAAUAGAAAUAUGCAGUCAGUUCAGCAUAGGCCUCUGUUGAGUCAGAACAGAAUUUUUCCAGUUGGAGAUAACUGAACUUUUCCCUCAAGUUCACUUUCACAGCAUCCAGAAAAUCAAAGUCCACACUUCUAGGGUUUAUCACCCCACGCUUCAGUAAUUUCGAGUAUAGAUCCUUUUGUUCCUUUGAUCUGAACAAAUCUCCCAUUUUUCCUUGAAUUUCAGCCGCAAUACCCAUUCUCGGUUGAAAUAAACUGAACAUAUUGUCAUCAUCAUUCCCAUCUACAGGAUUUGGCCCCCAGUCACGAGGAUCACUUGGUAUAUUUGCAAGGGUUUCCUCAGCCACCCCUUUUCGAGCAAUUCCCAAACUUUCCAUUCUUUUCAAAAAGAUAUAUUCGUUCCUAUAUCCUUUUUCCUUAACAAACUGAUCAACAUAAUUCAAAGGAGUACGAAUUCCUUUUAAAGCUCGAUAUAGCUUAUAGAUAAAAGCAGGCUUUUGAGAUCUUACGGGUUCUGCUUCCUCAAUGAUUUCUUCCUGUUGAACAACACCUUGAGGACUAGAUGGUGGAGAGUGACGCUGCUGAGAAUGUUGUGGAAUCGGAUGCUGAUCUGGAGAAACUUCAUCUUCUGUGAGAUCAAAGUGAGUAGGCCCUUCACUCAUUCUCUGUGGUCCCCUGCUUGCGAUUCUUGAGGACUUUCUUGAAAACGACAUCUUUCUCAGUGAAUGGAAGAUUCCUUGCUUGUCUUUCCGAGAAAAGAUGAAAACUUUUUAAGAAUGAACGAAGGAGACAACCAGAAGUGGAGAAUCGAUGUUUUCUAGGGUUUUGAGAGUAAAGAGAAUAGAAAAGUGAAGAGUAAUCGAUAGUGCUCGUUCGGUUAAAAAGAGAAGUAAACGAAUCGUCACAAAGGAAAUAAAAUAUUCCUCUUCAAAAUAACUGCCUUUAUCCGGAAAAAAUAGCUAUUCCAAAAGUAACUUCCCUUUUUGAAAAUGAAUCGUUGCAAAAUUUACGGUUAAAUAUAGCAACAAUUUAAACAGAGUCUGAUGAUCGUACCUUUUAAAGAUAACAUUGGAGAGAGAAAGACUUACAGUCUGAAGGUUGAGACAAGACUGUAGAUAAAGUCUUAUAAGCCUGAGUCUGAAGGUCUUUAGACUUUGAUAUCCUCAUACCUCAAAAUGUUGAGUCUGGUCCGUAUAGACUCAAAUUGAUUUUUGUCCAAAGGCUUUGUGAGAAUAUCAGCCAGUUGAUUCUUUGAGUCAACGAAUUGAAUUGUGACAUCUCCAUUUUGAACAUGAUCUCUUAUGAAGUGAUGUUGAGUCUCUAUAUGCUUUGCUCUUGAGUGGAGUAUUGGAUUUUUGGUGAGGUUGAUAGCGCUGGUGUUGUCGCAAUUAAUCUCUGUGCAUGAGUCUUCAAUUUCAAAAUCUCUUAGCUGUUGUUUUAUCCAUAGAAUUUGCGAACAGCAGCUUCCAAGAGCUACAUACUCUGCUUCUGUUGUUGAAAGAGACACAGUACUUUGUUUCCUUGAAAACCAAGACACUGUUCUGCUUCCAAGCAACUGGCAAGUUCCUGAAGUGCUCUUUCUAUCAACUCUGCAACCGGCCAGAUCUGCAUCUGAAUAACCUAGAAGAUUAAAGUCUCCCUUCUUAGGAUACCAAAGACCGAUGCUUGAUGAUGAAGCGACAUAUUUGAUGAUGCGUUUCGCAGCACUGAGAUGAGAUUCUCUAGGAUCUUAUUGAAACCUUGCACAGAUGCAAACACUCAACAAAAUAUCAGGUCUAGAAGCAGUAAGAUAAAGAAGUGAUCCGAUAAUGCUCCUGUACAGCUUUUGAUCAACUUUAUUCCCUUCUUCAUCUUUGUCUAUCUUUAAAGAACUUGACAUUGGUAUGUCGACCUUUUUGCAAUUCUCCAGUCCAAACCUUUUGACAAGAUCAUUAACAUAUUUUUCUUGAAAAAUAAAAGUUCCUUCUUUCAAUUGCUUUAUUUGAAGACCAAGAAAGAAUGUUAGUUCUCCCAUCAUACUCAUUUCAAACUCCUCCUGCAUAGACUUUGAAAAUUUCUUGCACAUACUUUCAUUAGAGGAUCCAAAAAUGAUAUCAUCUACAUAUAUUUGAACAAGUAAGAAACUUUUGUUUUCCUUCUUGAUAAAUAAAGUCGUAUCUACUUUACCUUUGACAAAACCAUUUUGUAAAAGGAAAUUGCUUAACCUGUCGUACCAAGCUCGAGGUGCUUGCUUUAAACCGUACAAAGCCUUUUUCAGUCUGAAGACUGAGUCUGGCUUCUUUGGGUCUUCAAACCCUGGCGGUUGUUCCACAUAAACUUCCUCAUGGAUGAAUCCAUUUAGAAAUGCGCUUUUGACGUCCAUUUGGAAUAACCUGAAAUUCUUAUAACAAGCAAACGCAAGUAAUAGUCGAAUAGCUUCUAACCUUGCCAUUGGAGCGUAAGUCUCAUCAUAGUCUAUUCCUUCUUCUUGCGUAUAUCCCUUGGCCACGAGUCUGCUUUAUUCGUACGACUUUCCUUUCUCGUCAUCUGUUUCUGAACACCCAUUUGGCUCCAAUAACAGUUUACCUUUUGGUUUGGAUGUCAAUUCCCAGACAUCAUUAUGCUGAAUGUCUGAGCUCUUCUUGCAUAGCUUCAAUCCAGCUUUCAUCAGAUAAAGCUUCUUCUAUGCUUUUUGGUUCAAUUUCAGAAACAAGAGCCACAGCACUAGACUCUUCUCGCCUUUUGGAUCUGGUGCGAAUUCCUUCAUUCAUUUCACCAAUUAUAAGAUCUUUGGGAUGACUGGAUUUAUGCUUCCAGUUACUUGUUGAUUUGUCUGGUUGAUGAUCUUUUUCUUUAUCUGGAUCUUCACUAACAACCUGAUGCUGGUUUUCCAGAGUCUGAGAUGCUUCUUGAGUUGUAGACUUUGGAGGGUCUGGAGCCGGUUCAGACUCUUCUUGAUGAGUCUGACUUGAUUCAUCUUGCGUUGAGUCUUGAAAUUUGACAUUCAUUGACUCCUCUACAGACUGACUUUUCUUGUUAUAGACUCUGUAAGCUUUGCUUGAAGUAGAAUAUCCAAGGAAGAUACCUUCAUCUGAUCUUUCUUCAAACUUACCAACACGAUCUUUUGCAUUUUUCAAUAUGAAACAUUUGCAACCAAAUACAUGAAAGUAUGAAACAAUAGGCUUCUUUUCUUUGAAUAACUCAUAAGGGGUUUUCUGAAGAAUAGAUCUUAAGAAGACUCUAUUGAUGAUAUAGCAAGCUGUUGAAACAGCUUCAGCCCAAAAUCGAGAAGAAAUUUUACUUUCAAUUAGAAGAGUUCUAGCCAUUUCUUGAAGAGAUCUGUUCUUUCUUUCCACAACUCCAUUUUGCUGAGGAGUAUAUGGAGAAGAAAACACAUGUUUACAUCCAGAUUCAUCACAGAAUUUUGUAAAAUCUUGAUUUUCAAAUUCUCCUCCAUGAUCUGUUUUUAUACAAGAGAUCACACAACCUUUUUCAUUUUGAACCUUUUUAGCAAGAUUUUUCAAAAUACGAAAAGGUUUUGGACUUACUUGAGAGGAAAUAUACCCAAGUAAAACGGGAGUAAUCAUCAACAAUUACUAGACAAUACUUCUUACCCCCAAUACUCUGAGUCCUUGUUGGUCCGAAGAGAUCCAUAUGUAACAACUGUAGAACAUGAUUAGUAGAGACAUAAUUUAUUGGUUUAAAUGAAUUUCUUACCUGCUUACCCAGAAUACAUGGAGUGCAUGAAUCAGUCUUUUGGUAUGGUAAUUUGGGUAGACCUCGAACAAGCUGCUUUGAUGAGAUUUUGGCUAAUUGCUUUAUGUUGACAUGACCAAGCUUUUUGUGCCAUAAGCUUGCUUCGUCUUGAAUUGAGAUAAGACAUUGCGAUUCAUUUGGUUUCACAUCCAGAAGAUAGAUGUUUCCAUGUCUUCGACCCAGAAAAGAUUGAGUAGAGUCUUUACUGACUCCUGAACAUGUUCCUUCUUGAAAGAAGAUCUUGAAACCAGUAUCACACAAUUGACUAAUGCUGAGAAGAUUGUAAUUGUGUCUUUCCACCAAGGAAACAUUACUUAUUGUGAGAGUCCCAAUUUUCACUGUUCCAAAUCCCACAAUACUUCCUUUGUUGUUUCCUCCAAAUGAAACUUUUCCACCAUUUACUUGAGCAAGCUUUAUAAAGCAAUUCGAGUCUCUUGUCAUGUGUCUUGAGCAACCACUGUCAAGAUACCACUUUACCUGUUUCUUGAUGGAGACCUGCAUUUAAUAAAGAGUCUCAAGCUUUCUUUGGUACCCAAACUUUCUUGGGUCCUUUGGUGUUAGUAAGAUAAACAUUAUUAGCCCAUACUCUUUUAAUAGGUUUCCAUACCAAAGGACACUCUUUUUCAAAGUGUUCCUUACUGUCGCACUUAGAACAUCUGAGAGAAUUUCUUCCUACAGGUUUUACAAAAACUUUCUUGAAAUGAUUUUUGUAAACUUCACUCGAAAGCCUUUUCUUAAUUAUUUCUUUUACUUUAGGAAAAUCAAUUAAUGGAAUUGUUUCUUCUGUCAUACCUAGACCAGACUUAUUAAAGUAAGGUCUUUGUGCUGAAAGAAUUUUCUCAAGUUUUUCAGACCCUAUUGAAAAUUUCUUUGAUAUAUUAGAUAAGUCUGUUUUUAAGAAAGCAUUUUCUUUUAAAAGAUUUCCUUCUUUUUCUUUAAGAUUAGAAAUAGACGAGUCUAAGCUUUUAACUCUUUCUGUUAAAUCAUUUUCCUUUUGUUUUAGAGCUAAGUUUUCCCUUUUUAAUUUGGAAAUACUUUUGAGAGAAGUCUUAAGACUUAAGCAUAAUUCAUCAAUAUAUUUAGAAACUUUGACAGGAAUCUUAAAAUUACUUGCCUCGAAUUCACUGUCUGAGUCUGAUCCUGAGUCUGAUCCAGAGUCUGAGUCUGAUCGUGCCAUCAGACAUAGAUUUGCAUAUUCAUUAUCACUUUCUUCACACUCAGUAUCACUCCAGGUUUCAGCUUUGAGAGCUUUUCGAAACUUUUCAGCUUUUCCUUUCUUCUUCUUUAGAAGAGGACAGUUGGGUCUGAUGUGUCCCUUCUUCUUGCAUUCAAAGCAGACUACAUCUUUAUUUGGUUCCUCAUCAUCAACAGACUUGAUCUGCUGUCUUUGAAAGCCUGGUUUCUUUGAGUUGAACCUUCUCCCUUUUCUAUUUAGUUUUUUGAAUUUUCUUAUCAUGAGAGCAAGCUCCUCAUCGUCCAUAUCAUCUUCAGAAUCUGUAACAUCAGAAUCAUCAUUUGAUUUUAAUGCAAUGGAUUUCUUACCUCUUGGAUCUUCUUCUUCAUUGAUCCUUUCCACUUCAUAGGACUGAAGUGUUCCAAUCAGCUCAUCAACAGAUAGUGGCAUAAUUCUCUGCAUCUCUCUUAUCGAAGUCUUUAUGUGAUUCCAAUCCUUGGAGAGUCCACGCAGAAGUUUGUUUACCUUCAUGGGAUCAGAAGUUGGUUGACCUUGAUUUUCAAGACCAUUCACAAUAUCUGUAAAACGACUAAACAUGUCAGAUAUUGAUUCUCCUGGUUUCAUUCUAAAGGCUUCAUAUUGACCGAGAAGAAUGUUGAUUCUUGUUUCCUUCACUCGAUCUGUUCCUUCAUAGGUGAUAUGCAGUCUGUCCCAAACUUCUUUUGCUGUACCACAAGAAGAUAUUCUAUUAUACUCAGUUGGUGAUAAAGCACAAUAUAAGGAGUAAAUUGCUUUUGCAUCGAGUGUUUGUCUUUUGGUUAUUUCUUCCUGAGACAAUCCGCUGGAUUCUUCAGUAUCUUUUCCUCUUUCAGAGACUGGUGCAGUGGUAGGAAUUAUUCCUUUUUCUACAACAUCCCAUUCCAGAGGAUCCUUUGAUCGUAGGAAAGCUUUCAUCUUGUUCUUCCAGAUGUUGUAAUCCUUUCCAUCAAAGUAAGGUGGUCUGGUAUUGCUUUACCCUUCCAUCAGCCCUGGUGCUAGCAUACUAGCCAUGGAUCUUUUACUAUGAAGUAAAACACUUCAAAUAAAGUAAGUACACAGGCUCUGAUACCAAUUGAUAUAGCUAGUAUAAACACCUAGAGGGGGGGUGAAUAGGCGCACAAACAAUUCUUCUUGAAUACGGAAGCGAUUCUUAAUAGAUUGAAAUAAAGAGAGUAAGGAAGAGAGAAUUAAACACAUGAUUUAUAGUGGUUCGGCUUAUUCCAAGCCUACGUCCACUCUUCCGCACUGACAGCCCACUGGCUGGAUUUCACUAUAAUCAAAAGAGAAGUUACAGCACAGCUUUGCCUUGAUUCCACAGUGUAGAUGUUCUACCACACCUCCUCAAGGUCUCUCACAAAUAUAGACUCUCUUUUGUAUACAAGUAUUCGCUCAAGAGAUUUAUCUAAACAAAUAGGAGCUUCAGACUUUGGAAUUCUUCUAUCGCGCACACCUCGAACAACUAAGAACGACUUCCUUAUAUACUUCUUUGUGCCAUCAAAUCCGUUGGCACUUACCAAAGGAAUUCCUCCAAUCUAACCGUUGGACAGAAUCAAUUAGGAAGAUUGUUCGAGUUAUUAAAGGAACAUGUUGAUAGCCCAUCAAUCCUGUUCGCCCAUACAAUCAGGAUCUCGGUUUCCAUAAGUAGAACCUUCCAAUAAUAUAUAGACAAUCAUCGAAUCUUCAGUCAUUGAAUCAAUCUUGAUCAAUCAAAGGAUUCUGAUACGUCUUCUCCAGCCACGAGAUCUUCUCCAGAUGAUAAGGUUAAAUCCUGAACCAACCACCUAGUUCUGGAUAACCUUUCUUCAACGGAUUCGAGACUGUCAAUGAGGAUAGACUUUGAGUCUUGAGUCUGGCUGUCCGGAAGUCUUCAGACUUUAAACUGACAGAGUCUGCAGACUUUCAGACUAGACCGAAGGAUACGUUUUGUCAACUUCAAAACUCUUCAUGAGGAUUUCUCCAACAGAAGAAAGAGAAGCUGAAAAAGAAGCAGAGGAGGAAAGACUUGAAGAAGAAAGAAGAGAAGAAGGAGAACCUGAGGAACUCUCUUCUCCACUUGAAGGCAUGAAAUCAGGGGGAGAUCAAGAGAAAGGAGGGAAGUCCUCAUAUCCUGAUGCAAGUGAAGGAGUCAGUCACUCACCUAUAGACCCAGAGGAUGUUUAUACCUCUCAAUUUCUAGAAGAAUGUCAUGAAGUUUCAUCGCCAACCCUGCGAGAUUAUGCUGAUCUACCAUCGUCUGCAUUUACUCCAUCAGAUCGGGCAGAAGCAAGUACUCAGACUGAUAAUGCAGCAGAUUUUCGCAGAAUCAUGGAUGUUCUCUUGGAGAUGCGAGGUCAAAUUUAUGCCUUGGGAUGCGAGGUUCAAAACCUGCAGAAUGCGGGUCAAGUUUCUUCAUGUUCAUUGAAUGAUAAGAUCCAAGCCCUCUCUGUUCAGAUCCAGGCCAAUGCCAAGGGUGAGGAGAUUGCACAACUGAAGGAAGACUUGAAAAGACUGGAAGGCAUCGUUCAGUCUAUGGAAGAUUUCCAGCUUGUCCGCAUUCCCAAGAGAUCUUGACUUCAUCUCAACCUUUUUAAUGCUGACAAAAAGGGGGAGAGAUGCAAGAUUUGAUCAAACUUUCAAUCAUUAAACUUUUUUUAAUCAUGUGGUUUGUUGAACUGUUUUGUUGUUGAACUCUGUUUGACUUUGUUUUGUGUCUGGAUAAGAACUGGACAAGACUUGGACUUGACUGCUUCUAUUAACUACUAUUGAUAUCUUAUGGAUGGCUUUAUCUCAUACUAGACUAACCUAUUUUCUGUGGUUGCAGAUUCUAGUGUUAUUCAUUUAGCCAUUUAUCUCUAUAAGAUAUGCAUAUGUGUUUGAGAAAUGUUUUGCAGGUCAAAGUUAUCCAAAUCUGCAGGAAAGUUUUGUCACCAUCAAAAAUGGGGAGAUUGUUGGAGAAAUCUUCUUGAAGUGUUUUGAAGCUGACAAAACGUUUCUAUCAGUCUAGUCUAAAGGCUUGCAGACUCUUCUAUUUAAAGUCUGAAGACCUCCAGACAGCCAGACUCAAGACUCAAAGUCUAUCAUCAUUGACAGUCUCUAAUCCGUUGAAGAAAGGCUAUCCAGAAUUGGAUGUUUCGUCAAGGAUUUAACCUUAUCAACUGGAGAAGAUCUCGUGGCUGGAAAAGAUGUAAUGGAAUCCUUUGAUUGAUCGAGAUUGACUCGAUGAUUGAAGAUCCGGUGAUUGCCUAAAUAUUAUUGGAAGGUUCUACUUAUGGAAACCGAGAUCCUGAUUGUAUGGGUGAACAUGAUUGAUGGGCUAUCAACACGUUCCUUUAAUAGCUUGAACGAUCUUCCUAAUUGAUUCCGUCCAACGGGUAGAUUGGAGGAAUUCCUUUGGUAAGUGCCAACGGGUAUGAUGGCAUAAAGGAGUAUAUAAGGAAGACGGUCUUAGUUGUUGAGGUGUGCGCGAUAGAAGAAUUCCAAAGUCUGAAGCUCUUUUUUGUUUAGACAAUUCCUUUGAGCGAAUACUUGUAUACAAAAGAGAGUCUAUAUUUGUGAGAAACCUUGAGGAGGUGUGAUAGAACAUCUACACUGUGGAAUCAAGGCAAAGCUGUGCUGUAACUUCUCUUUUGAUCAUAGUGAAAUCCAGCCGGUGGGCUGUCAGUGCGGAAGAGUGGACGUAGGCUUGGAAUAAGCCGAACCACUAUAAACCCCGUGUUCAAUUUUCUCUUCCUUACUCUCUUUACUUUGAUCGUACUUCAUUUUCGCUAAUCAUAGUAACUUUAUUGUAUCAUUUGCAAAGAAUAGCCUCCGUAUCUCGAUAAAUGUUUGGCACCUAUUCACCCCCCUCUAGGGUGAUUAUACUAGCUAUCACAACAGUCACUUCAUUCAUAUCUCACAUCAGAACCACAUGUACAUGCGGUUGUCUUUAGUUUAAAUGUCCCAUGUAAAAAUGCCAACCCUUCUUUUAUCCCUAGUUAGCAUGAUCUUGCUAUUCCAAAGGUCCAGAACAAGAAUCAACACCUUGCAUGGCAUAAAAAAAUCUAAUGAUUGAAUGAACAUAAGAUAAAAUGAGAAGAUAAUUUUUCUAGACAGGAUGAAUUUGAUCGACAUUUUAGCCCUUGGUCAAAUUUGACAUGUAAAUUUGAUUAAGAAAUCCAAAAUGGCUAGGGAAUCUUGUGAAUAAAUAUAUCAAUGGAUCAUAAACAUGCUAAAGAUUUAACAUGAAAAGAAUCGUUAAGGGACUAAGAUGACUAAAGUUUAGGGGAUUUCCCAAAUAGUACAUAUGGCUUGUUUCAGCCAAUUGUUUCUUAAGCUGAGGAUCCUCGUGGAUAAUAUGAAAUGGAAAGACUUUGCAUAAGGGAGUAGACAGAACCAAAUAGAUUUAAAAGAAGGAAGCAAAUCAUUCUUCAAAAGUAUCACUUCGAGACAAUUGUAAAUCAGAUUUGCUAGUGAUAGUUGUCGCAACCUACAUUUUUCUCUUCAAAGGGGAAAAUAAAUAAAUUUAGAGGUAUUGCCUAAAAAGCGGACCUACAUUCCUCAAUUAAGGAUGAGCUCUUUCAAGCCCAUACUUUAUGCGACAUUGUGAUGUUCAAUUUUAGCUUUAAUUGAUGCUAUAAGAAUUUUAUAAUAAGGAGUCGCCACUAGAUUAUUAUGGUUGGCUUAAAAUCAAGUAAGGCAUGGAAAUAUAUCUUACUUCCUACACAAUUAGAGAAUUUUAGGUUGGGGACUUGGUUAUACCAAUUAAUUAAGUAGUGCUCUCUUGGUAUCUAAUCUUAUUCAAUUCAAGAAGAUGUUUUUCAAGCAAUGUUGAUUGAUUUUUAGUUAUCCACCAAUAUGUGAGGUGAUUACAAAGGUGUACAAUCAUUAAAAUAACAAUCAUUGAUUAAGGAAGCAUUAAAUAAAUUACAAAGGAAAACAAGAAUCUAACACUAAGAGAGAAGAAAAAUCUCAUUCCCUACUAAGCUAAAGGGAACAUAUUGAAAGUGCUCAAUCAAGGAAUAGGAACGUAACGUUUGUCUCUAAGGAUGCUCAAAUCCUAUGGUAAAACUCUAAAAGCUAGUUCGAUUUUGAGCAUGAAUUUUCUAUUAUCAAUGAUUUUCACACAUUUUGAGAGAGAAAUUCUCAAAGACUAAUUUUUAACCUUUUUUUUUUCCUAAUUUUAGGAUUUUUUAAUUCUUAAAAUAAUUUUUGUAAAAAAAUAUUUUCCCGAAAAUAGGGUCUUCGAAAUAGGGUCUUCGGGUAGGGCCAUGGACACAAAAUUGGGUUCUCAACCCAUAACAAACCAAUUAAAUUUAAACCCAGCCCAAACUGACAUAUAAGUCCGGGCUCAUUUAACCUAAACCAACCCCCACUUAAGCCUACGUUGUCCUCCCUCACCCCUCUUCUCUUCUUUUUCAGCAUAACGUGAGAAGAGAGAGAGAGAGAGAGAGAGAGAGAGCACGCCCAAACAUGACGGAACCUCACCAUUGCCGGAACAUCAACAGCGGGAUCCCUUCACAUCACACCAGAGCAUCAGAGGGGCGCACGAAAUUUCAGAGAAAGUUUAAUCAAGACCGAAAACUGAAGCGCUAGAACAUGAGCCCCAAGGUUCACAGUGAAUGAACAAUAUACGCCCCAUCGCCAGACCGACUGACCAUCAAUUUUCGCCUCCAACGUCAGCCGAUUAACACCCAUACGCCCAUACCAAAUCAACGGCCAACAUCCCACGUCCCAGUCGGCCUCCAC
Molecule: long non-coding RNA, 51583 nt
Filed under: Eucalyptus grandis
Lineage: Eukaryota; Viridiplantae; Streptophyta; Magnoliopsida; Myrtales; Myrtaceae
Description: long non-coding RNA (EGRA_LNC001272)
Source: RNAcentral